Molecule: long non-coding RNA, 66306 nt
Filed under: Prunus persica (peach)
Lineage: Eukaryota; Viridiplantae; Streptophyta; Magnoliopsida; Rosales; Rosaceae
Description: long non-coding RNA (PPER_LNC005669)
Source: RNAcentral
GUUGUACCUCGCAAGCUUCGAAGACUCCUGAGCGAGCUUCUCGAAGAUGUCGUUGAUGAAGCUGUUCAUGAUGCCCAUGGCCUUGCUGGAGAUUCCGAUAUCAGGGUGGACCUGCUUCAACACCUUGAAGAUGUAGAUCUUGUAGGUCUCGACGCUCUUCUUCGAUCUCUUCUUCUUCUUAUCUCCAGCGGCGGCUCCGGCUUCCUUCGGAAGCUUCUUGCCGGCCUUGGGCUUCUUCUCCGCGGGGGCUUUCUCAGCCACGGUGGACUUCUUCUCCUCAGCUGGCUUUUUCUCGGCGGGCUUCUUCUCGGCUUUAGGCGCCAUUGGUGGAGUUCUGAGGGAAAAGUUUGAGGUUGGGUAUUUGGGGAUUUUAAGAGUUGGAUUUGAGAGUUGGGAUAUUUUUGUUAUGACUAAGCAGUGAGGAGGGCUAUCUGUUUAUAUAUGCUGAGGGUUGGAUUCUAUUGGGUAUUGGGAUUUCACGCGGAUCCCUGACUUGGAUUAUAUACUCAGUUUUUUAAUUUUUUCAAAAAUAGUAUAGCCGUACGGCUAUACUAUUUUACACGUGGGCCCCUGGUCGCUGUGCACCUCGUCUGUUUUUUAAGUGAAUAGUAUAACCGAGCGGCUAUACUAGAUUAUUUUCUAAUUUUGUUUAAAAAUAGUAUUUUUUAAAAUUAUCUUUAAUAAAUAAUAUAGACGAGCAGCUAUGGUAUAUAAAUAAUAUAUAUGCAUAUGCAUUUUUCAACGAUACAUUCGUGUUCUAUAUACAUCUCACGUUUUUUAAAACGUAACGUACAAUAGUCGUAUUGUACAUGUAUGUACAUAUUUCUAAUGUUUUAUACACAUAUUUUUUACAAAAUUUUCAGUAAGACACACAAAAUUCACGUAUUAUACAAAUAAUUCUAACAUAUUAUUGAAUAAGCAUAAUAUAUGUUAUAAAAAUUAUAUUAAAAUAUUAUAUACUGGCCGAUUAAUAUAUACUUUAGAUAUGUUGAAACUAGAAAAUUAAUAUCUAUAAAGUACAAACUAAUGCAACUAGGAGGGUCCCUUUUAAAAUUUUUUUUUAUAGUAUAGCCGUGCGGUUAUAUCUUUUAAAUAUAAUUUAUUUAAAUAGUAUAGCUGUGCGGCUAUGCUACGAUUUUUAAAAUAAAAAAUAUAUUUUUGUGCUGCUAUACUUGUUUUUGACACAUGGCACCUAAUCGCUAAAAGGUCCUCGUUUUAAAAAAAUAGUACAGUCGCACUAAUAUACUCCGUGUUUUUUUUUAUUUUUAAAAUAGACUUAUUUUGACACGUGACGCUUAAUCAAUGGGGAUCCUUUUUUUUUAAAAUAUUAUAUAUAUAUAUACAUAUAAUCUAUAAAGUACAAAUUAAUGCAUCUAAGAGGUUCCUUUUUUCUUUUUUGUUUUCAUUAAAUCGUAUAGCCGGGCGGCUAUAUUACGAUUUUUUUUAUUUAUAAAAAAUAGUAUAGCCGCACAACGAUACUAUUUAAUAUAAAUAAAUAAAUAAAAAAAAGGACCAUCCUAGUUGCAUUAGUUUGUACGUUAUAAAUAUUAAUUUGUUAGUUUCAACAUAUCCAAAGUAGAUAUUAAUCUUCCACUAUAUGAUAUUUUAAUAUAAUUUUUAUAUCAUAUGUUAUUCUUAUUCAAUAAUAUGUGAAAAUUAUUUGUAUAAUACAUGAACUUUGUGUAUCUUACUGAAAAUUUUGUAAAAAAUAUGCGUAUAAAACAUUAAAAAUAUGUACAUACAUGUACAAUACAACUAUUGUAAGUUUGCUUUUAAAAAAACAUGAGACGUGUAUAGAAUACAAAUGUAUUAUUAAAAAAUACAUAUGUAUAUAUAUGUAAAAGACUAUAGCCACUCGUCUAUACUAUUUAUUAAAGACAAUUUUUUUUAUAAAAAAAACCAGUAAAGCCGCCCGGCUAUAUUGUUAAUGAGAACUAUCCUUGAAUAGCCCGUCUCGCACACAUCAGAGCUUCAAUGGCAGCUUCAGUUUCAGCAUUCAGGACACUGUUACAGCUGCGCUUUCUAGCAUUUCCAAAGCAAAACUCCUUGUUCUGAUUCCUCAUCACCACACCCAGAUCCGCGUCAUGGUUCUUCCAGGCAUAAUCAAAAUUGACUUUUAUUGCACCAUUUUUAGGGGACUUCCAGAUUUCAGAGGGCGGGAUGAUGACACCAAUCCCAUUCCUAGAGGAGGCAACUUGAUUUUUCACAGCUUCAAAUUCAGAAGCUGCGGAAACAGCAUUUUCCAUCACCUUUUUGGGGUCAAUCAUAGUCUUCAAAAAGGAAUUUGCACAUUGUUUUCCAAAUUUGCCAUGCAAUGAAACUAGUCAAUGAUAGAACCCAAACUUGCUCCUUUGACAGAACAUGACAGUUUAACCCAUUGAGCCAACGAUCAAUAGUGGUGAAGCUUUGCAGGUUCACUCAAUAAUUCAAGGGGGAGCCAGGCAGAUGGAGGACUUGAUAAUCCUUCUACCAAAAAGGUUUAGCCUGGCGGGCAAUGCCCUCCCCAUCAAGCGCCAGAGAAAAAACUUGAUUUUUGGCUGAGUGGAAAUCUUCCAGAUGGUUUUCCAAACACAACCCUCAAUCACAUGGGACUAACGGUUAUUCCUUCCAAUAGAAGAAACAAAGACCACCCGCUUGUUAUAACCUGAUCUCACAGAAUACAAACCAGAGUUGUUCCAAGGCCACACAAUUAUGUCUUCCCUAAGCAAAUUACCAACGGGAACCUCCCUAUGCACAUCCCGUAGUUGAUUGUGUAGAAACACGUGGAAAGUAAACAAACAAGUCAUAUUUGUGGAGACAAUAUAUAACUAGAUCAACCAUAUCUAUAAAACGAAGACCAUUAUCGACAAACUAAACUACAAGGCCAUUAUCAUACUGAGAACCAAAAUCUCUAUAAAACGACGAACAAAUGUCAUUCUACAACAUGAUCACUAAUAGCAGAAUAACAUAAAAACCCAAUCUUUCACAAAUUGAAGCACUAAAGGACCAAAAAUAUCCAAAAACAAUUGGGUCAAAAAUAUCAAAUGACAUGCGGUAGGAUUCCCAAUCAAAAAAUCCCACACAAUCCAACAACAUAUAGGCAAAACACCGAAUAUUAUAUGAACCAGAGCAGGAACGAAAAAUACACAUUUACUAAUUACAACCCUAACCCUAAUCAAAGAGAAGCCAUUCCAAUCCACACCCACACCCCAACAACGCCCUUCAAGAGCUUGUAAACUUGGUCACCGCCUUGGUCCCUUCAGAAACGGCGUGCUUGGCGAGCUCACCGGGAAGCACGAGCCUCACAGCAGUUUGAAUCUCCCGAGAAGUAAUCGUCGGCUUCUUGUUGUACCUCGCAAGCCUCGAAGACUCCUGAGCGAGCUUCUCGAAGAUGUCGUUGAUGAAACUGUUCAUGAUGCCCAUGGCCUUGCUGGAGAUUCCGAUAUCAGGGUGGACCUGCUUCAGAACCUUGAAGAUGUAGAUCUUGUAGGUCUCUACGCUCUUCUUCGAUCUCUUCUUCUUCUUAUCUCCGGCGGCGGCUCCGGCUUCCUUCGGGAGCUUCUUGCCGGCCUUGGGCUUCUUCUCCGCCGGGGCUUUCUCAGCCACUGUGGACUUCUUCUCCUCAGCAGGCUUCUUCUCGGCAGGCUUCUUCUCAGCCUUGGGCGCCAUUGUUGGAGUUGUGAGAGAAAAGUUUGAGGCUGGGAAUUUGGGGAUUUUACGAAAUGGUUUGAGAGUUGGGAUAUUUUUGUGACGAGUGAGUAGUGAGGAGGGAUGUCUAUUUAUAUAUGCCGAGGGUUGGAUUCUAUUGGGUAUUGGGAUUUCACGCGGAUCGCUGACUUGGAGUGUGGCUUCGGCCGUGGGAUUGGGUUUGAGAAAGCUAGGGAAUCGACGGUUGAGAUGAGGUAAGCUGGUUCAAGCGGAUUGGUGACGGAUCGGUGGGCUUGGGUGGGAUCUGACGGUGGAUAGUUUUUAGAUGAAAUUGGUAGUGGGUGGUUGGCAUGGGUUAUUCGAUAUGGAUCGUUGACAUCAUCCGGAAUCCGAGUGUGGUCCAAAUAAAGUUUUGUUUUUCAUAUAAAAAACUUUCAUGUUUUGUUAUUUUAUCAGAAAAUUCCAAGUUUUAAAAACUUUUGAUAACAAAAAAAAUCCAAUUAAUCGAAAUUUAUUAAGGACUUUUCAUAAACUGAUAAAUCGGUAAACCAAACUGAAAAAAUAGGUUUUGACUUGAAUUGGUUCGGUUCUUGGUUUUUGCCGCCACUCAAAAAUGAACCGGAGUGAUUAUAUAUUGUCAUCUAAUGUAUUAAUAUCUAAAUCAUUUUUUCGUAUGAGCCUAAUACCAAAAUCUCAACCUUGGUCAUCUCCCUCGCGGUCAAACAACCUCCGUCUAUGUAAAUUUGGGGUACCAAAACUAAAUUUCUAGAAUUUUAUUAAAAUAUUUAAUAUUAAUUAUUCAUUGAAUAAAUAAUAAUUAAAACAUAAUUACUAAUGAAAGUAUUUGAAUAAUGCUAAGAUAUUAUUUAAUUAAUAAAAAAAGAAAAUUUUAAAAAGGAUAUUUUAAGAGUAUAGCCGCGCGGCUAUACUCUUUAAAUAGAAUAUUUUAAAAGUAUAGGCGCUUGGCUAUACCCUUUGAAUAGCCUAAUCUUGAUUUCUCCUUUUUAAUUACUUUGUGUAGUAGUUAUGUUUUAAUUACUAUUUACUUAGUGAAUAAUUAGUAUUUAAAUAUUUGAUUAAAUACAAUUUUAAAAUUUUAAAAAUAAUUACCAUUUAUUACGUUAAUUAAAAUAUUUAAUUCUUCACUAAAGAAAUAAUUAAAACAUAAUUAUAUAUUAUUUAAUUACAAAAAAGAAAAUUUAAAUUACAAAUUUAUUGGACCUAAAAGAUACUAAAUUUAUAUUUUAUUUUAAAAUAAAAUCUCCCCCUACAAAGUUUUGUCGGCGCAGGUCUAUCCCGGCGAAAUUUCUUAAUUUGCCGAAUUAGACUUUCUCCUACGAAAUCAACCUCUGCCGAUGAAAGGGAACUUCAUAUUGACAUGUUGUAUACCAUAUCACCACAUGUAUCUUUCUUUUUCUGAUUUUAAUAGGAUGCUUCUAGUUGGAGCAUGGUUGUAAAUUUGUUCAACAUCAAUGGAAAGGGAACUUCAUACAGUUUUGUCCAUAAUGGAAAACGAAUUUCACACAGUUUUAAUAUAUAUAAAUAGGCGCUAAGAGGCUGCUUUUUUUAAUUUGUUGAGGCCUUCUCCAUCAUCCACUCAAAAAGGAUGAAAAAGGAGGGCUCUCCUCCUAACGUAAAAAGCCUCCAAAAGUUUGGCUUUUAUCUUCUUUCCUUUUCCUCCAAGAAUGCAUAAAGAACGAAAAGCUUCGGCCCUUGGGGCUUUUUUUCUUCUUCCCCACGAAGAGAUAAAGAGAGAAGCCUGCAAGGUAGGCCUCUCUCUCUCUCUCUCUCUCUCUCUCUCUCUCUCUCUCUCUCUCUCUCUAAAAGAACGUAUAAGGAAAAAUCAGUUUCAAAAAGCAAAUGGGGAUUUUCUUCCCCUGCCUUCUCAGCUUUGUUCAUUCCAUUUCCUAAGUUAGGAAACAGAAUUGAAAACAUGAAGAGAGUUGACAAAGUAGCAUCAAAGACUUAUACGAACAAGAACCCUUUCAAAGCUCACCUGUUAAAUUAUUCGAAUAAAAAUAUAUUAGUAGAUUUAAAUAGUAUAGCCAGAAGUAUAACCGCACGGCUAUACUAUUUUUUAAAUAUUCGGGCAUAUUUAAGAAGUAUAGCCGCCCGGCUAUACUAUUUAAAUACACGAAUAUUUUUGCGCAAUAUAGCCGCCGGCUAUACUAUUAAAUAUUCUAAUAUAUUUAAGAAGUAGAGCCGCCCGCACGGCUAUACUAGGGAGAUUCACUAUUAUACCCAAUAUAGAGGCCCAAAUUAUAAAAAUACCCCAUAUGAAAUGAACUUUAGAAACACACCCAAAACCCAUCUACAACAUAACAAAGAGACUCUUAACUUCUUAUGAAUUAUAAAACUGCCAUCAAUUUCUUAAAACAAGCUCAAUCUCAAAAUCUCAUAAAAAUACCCAAAACACUCAAUAGGUCAUCAAAGUAAUUUAAUAAUAAAUAUUAAAUUCAAUAAGGUCAGUUGUCAUUUUUUGGGUUUGUUUAUAGAAAUUCAAUGGUAUAGGGUUUAUCUAUAAUAUUAGUGCUAAGAAUGGGUAUAUCACUAAAUAUCUCAUGAAGGUAAUCAUGGUAGCAAAUGCUUUGUAUUUGGAAUGAUAUUUGUUUUACUUGUGAAACGGUUUCAGUUUUUUGUAGGUUGAAAAGGUUACAGUAAGUAGUACAUGAUGAAUUAAGUAGGAUGAUGAGUUGGGUUGUCAAAUGAGUUUUAAGGCUUUUGAUAAUAUUAUUGAAUGAUGACUUUGAGCCUAAUUUAACUGGGAUUGGGCAGUUUGAUGCUUAUGUCAAUGUAGAUCAAACAAGUAGUCAUUGAGGAUGAACAACAAGAAUCCAACUGAUAUGAUUCUAAGUUGGAUGAAAGCAAUAGCCAGGUCAAAGAAAAAUCCAAAGGCACGUCACAAAGGUCCUAUAGCUCCUCAUACUUGGGUUUUAGAUUCGUUAUCUCGUGGAAAGAACUUGAAUUGCCGUGUAUGCUUAAAGUCCAUGUGCCCUUCUCAAACUCUUGGGCCUAUGACAGUUUCAGACAGUUUUAGUCACCGUUGCAGUAUUUGUGGUGCAGCGCUCACCUAAGCUGCUCUUCUAGUGCGCACAAGGAUUACUCCGCUGGUGAAUUUUUGAGCUCCAGUACCCAAAGCACUAUGGUGGAUUAGUAAGUGUGGUUAACAUUAGAGAGUUGGGCCAAUGGCCUUGGCUAUAGGCUUGGCUUUGGAUUCGGCUUUCAUUAAUAAUAAUUAUAAAAAAUAUAUAUAAUUUUUAUUCAGUAAUACGUGUAUAAUACGUGAAUUUUGUGUGUCUUGGUGAAACGUUUGUAAAAACAUACGUGUAUUAAACAUGAGAAAUAGAAAUUAAUUACUUUGUGUUCUUUUUCUUCAAUCUUUUUACAUUAAAUAAUAAUUAAAAUAUAAUCACUAAGCAAAGUGAUUCCAAAAGGCUAAGAGUAACUAUAGUAAAUUAAAGAAGUAGGCCAAAAAACAAAAGUGAAGAAACAAAUUUUAUAUUUUUAAAUUAUUUAAAACAACAAAUAAAAAUGAGUAUAGCCGUGUCGCUGUACAUCUUUAAAAAAAGGACGCUCCCAGCCCCUAGCUGCCACGUGUCAGAAGAUUGAAGCCUUUUUUUUUAUAUAAAAAAAAAAGGAAAAACGAGUACAGCCGGCCGGCUGUAUUGUUUUUCAAAAAACAAUUUCAAACAAAUAGUGCAGCAGCGCGGCUAUACUAUUUGUAAAGACCAGGCUCCCUAGCUGCCACGUGUCAGAAGACUGAAGCCUUUUAUUUAUUUAUUUUUUAAAAAAAGGAAAAGCGAGGACAGCCGCGCGGCUAUACUAUUAUAUAUUUGUAAAGACCGGCCCAUGUGCUCAGCCCACGUGUCAACGAGGUCCAGCCGCCCGGCUAUACUGUUUUAAAUGCCAAAACGGGUAUAGCCGCGCGGCUAUACUUUCUUUUUGAAAAACAAUUAGGGAAAACUUGGGCUAUACCCUUUUUUUCUUUUUCUUUUUCUUUUUUUCAAUAAACAAAAAAGUAUAUAUUGUUUUUAUUCGGUAAUACGUGUAUAAUGCGUGAAUUUUGUGUGUUUUAGUGAAAUUUUUGUAAAAACAUACGUGUAUUAAACGUGAGAAAUACGUGCGUACAUGUAUAAUACGGGUAAUAACUUUGGAAAAGUAAAGAAUCAAAAAGGGACGAUACGUACUCGAGUAAUGGUAUAAUAGUAAUGGAUAGGGCUCUUGGGCUAUGGAGAAAUUGAUUUAAGAUACCCAAACGAUUUCACAAAAGACUUAAUAAGUAGAAAUUAAUUACUUUGUGUUCUUUUUCUUCGAUCUUUUUACAUUAAAUAAUAAUUUAAAUAUAAUUACUAAGCGAAGUGAUUAAAAAAGGCUAAGAGUAACCAUAGUAAAUUAAAGAAGUAGGCCAAAAAACAAAAGUGAAGAAACAAAUUUUAUAAUUUUAAAUUAUUAAAAAUAACAAAUAAAAAUGAGUAUAGCCGUGCGGCUGUACUAUGCAUAUCUUUAAAAAAAAAGGACGCCCCCUAGCUGCCACGUGUCAGAAGAUUGAAGACUUUUUUUUAUUUUUUAUUUUAAAAAAGGAAAAGCGAGUACAGCCGCGCGGCUAUACUAUUAUAUAUUUGUAAAGACCAGCCCAUGUGCUCAGCCCACGUGUCAACGAGGUCCGGCCGCCCGGCUAUGCUGUUUUCAUCAUUUCUUACUUCUAAUUAUAUUUUUAAUGCUUAUAAUUUGAAUUAUCUAGUGGAAACAAAAAAUGGAGUGAAAAAAAUUCAAAUUAAAUGGGUUGGUUUUUGGGCUCGAGUAUGGCACGAGCACGGCCCGGCUUGGCCUGUUUCAAUGUGGACAUGGGUUUUGAGCCGGGCCGGGAUCAAAGAUUUUACUAAAUAGGCCUACACGACACGGCCCAAUAAAUUAAAUAGAUUGGCCCAGCCUGGCACGAAAAUAUUAAAAGUACGAGUUUAAAUGGAACGGGCCUGCCCAGCACGGCUCGUUUAACACCUCUAAUCACACGACAGUUUGGGUUGGAAUCCUGAUCGUCGCCUGCGAUCUGGGCCUAGGCUGUUUUGCAAUUUUAUUUUAUUUUUUUCGAAAUUCUGAAAUUUUCACCGUAAUCCCCCCUAUUAUUGAAUUCCUAUUUUUGGCUACUGUUCAUAUUUUACCCUUCAAAUAGAUCUGACAUUUUCAAACUCAAAUUUCUCCUUCCUUACAAUUCUUAUUCACAAACCAUUCGCGCCCACCCGCUCUUGAGAUCGGGCUCUAUUUCUCCAUCCAAAAAUUAUAUGUUCCUCAUUUCAAUUUCUUGAACGUCCUUUGAAAAAUUAUAAACUUUAAACAUAGGGCAUUUUAGUCCCAAUUUAAGAUUAAACUCACUUAACUCCAUUAUUUCCACACCAAACCAACUUCAAAAAUUGCCCAAUAUUAUUAUCAAUCCCAUAUGAUUUUUCGAAACAUUAAUAACAACAAAAUCCCUAAUUUUGAGGUCAUUACAAUCAGGCUCUUGGGUUGGGGUUUGAACCGACGCCUGAAACUUCUGUUCUACCUUACCAAUGGAAGCUUGAGCUCAGUGCUACAAGGUGCUGGUAAGGGAGGAGCAGAUUGGGAGGCUACAUAUGAUGUUGUCUUAGGCAUGGCUCAGGCGCUUGCCCACUUGCACCACGACUGUGUGCCUGCUAUUUUGCAUGGUGAUGUCAAAGCCGUGAACGUGUUGUUGGGUCCUGGCUAUGAGCCUUAUCUUGCUGGCUUUGGAUUCGCUGGGAUUGUGAAUGGCAUUGGUGAUGAUGAUUUUUCUAAAACAAGCCAAAGGCCUCAAUUGUUCUUAUGGAUACAUGGCUCCUUCUUUUCAUAAUUUUAGUUCCUAAUUUUCUUACCAUAUUUUCUUCUAAAAAUCACUAAAUUUAGUUAGUUUCUUACCAUGUUUUCUUUUUGUGUGACUACAGAGCAUGCAUCAAUGCAGCGUAUCACUGAGAAAAAUGAUGUCUACAUUUUUGGUGUGGUUCUUUUAGAGGUAUUAACAGGGAGGCAUCCAAUAGACCCAACUUUGCCGGGGGUGCACAUUUAGUUCAAUGGAUUCGUGAGAACUUGGCAAGGAAACGAUAUCUGGUUGAUAUCCUUGAUCAGAAGCUUAGGGGAAGAGCUGAUCCUACAAUGCACGAAAUGCUGCAAGCACUAGCUGUGGCAUUCCUUUGUUUCAGCACUCGUGCUGAUGAUCGCCCGAUGAUGAAAGAUGUCGUAGCAAUGCUUACAGAAAUUCAACAUCUUGAGACUGCAAGGGGAGAACCAGAAUUGUUAAAGGAAGGAGGGUUGCAAUAACUUUGGCAUCCCCUCCUGCUAGGAAAGCAGUUUCGCAAGGCUCUUCUAACUGCACCUUCGCUUUCCCUGAAGAUUCAAUGCAAUGAGAAGUUAUGAACUUUCAUCCACCGUGCAAAUUAUCUUGAGAGAAUCAAAAUCCCAUAGAACAAGGAAGAAUACAGAGGAAGAAUUUUAGUGUAAAUUUAGAUUUUAAUUAUAUGUAGUUCUUGUAGAUCGAAAUAAUCAAUGCCUCCCCACUAAGAAAGAAUGGUCUUUGGGGGAAUAUGUGAUGGCUUAACUGUCUUCCGGAGGAGUGAGAGUAAAUGCAGGGUAUGUAGUAGAAGUGUUAAACAAUGAUUGGUAUUUUUGCAUUUAUGUACUUAGAAUUUAAUGUGAGGGAAUGAGAUUCCAUUCCAUGACAUCUUUUCUUUCCAGCAAUGCUCACAGUCCUCCAACUCCAGAUCACAUGUCCAUUUGCUUACCUGAGCAAGACUUUCCAGCAAAGAAAUACUAAUCUUGGAUUAGAAGACUUUCAUCUCUCAUUAUCAGAAAGCACAUGUAGAAAAGCAGGACCAUUACUUAUACCUGUACAGAUAUGUAAUACACAAACCAAGUAAACUGUUCCAUAACAUUACAGCUGCACAUGGAUUUGCAUCCACUUUAUCAGCAUAUUGCAGAUAUCUAAGUUUAAGUACUUUCUUACGAGGUCCAAAAACACCCUAAAAUAUCGAAGCAAAUCUAACGGUUCUUACAGUGAGUAUGGACAAUACAAACAAACACAUGAAAAGUGGAGCUUGUGAUCUUACUAUCCGCAGGUUGAUUAGAGGUAAUUAUUUUCAAAUACAGCAACACAAACAACAAAAUUUCAUUGAGGUAAAUAUAAACAAUACAUGAAUACAAAAGAGUUUCAAUUUUCGGACACAAAAUGGUGUUUCCUAUCAAAAACAGCCAAAUAGUGCCACUUCUUGCUCGUCUUCUAGCUAUGUUGCCAUUAAAGUAGACUUCGCCCCACCUAAAACUAGGUGGUGGCAUGGUAGGUUAACGCAACAUUAUGUCCGGUACUGGUAAGGGCUAAAGUGAGUAAUUUUCUAGCCACAGCAGCGACAUUAUAGACCCAAACCCUGUCCUUACUACACAACAUUUCAGUUGAUGGUUAUGGACUAGGGUGGGUACUGAGAUUCUAACUUCUUUAAUACGAAGCCAAUAACAUCCCAGCUGAAUCCACGAUACUGAAGCCAAUGAACAAUCCUUGAUUUCCUUGUCUCUUUAGGCACUUCUUGACCUCGAAGCCACUGCUUUGAGGCCUGAACAAGUAAAUUAUCCAUUGAGAGCUUUGACAGGCCAUGAACUAACUUCUGAUCAUUAUCUGAUUCUCCCUCCUCAAAAACCAAUUUAAUUGCAUUCUCAGCAUCAAGUUUACUCACUCCCUUGCUGAAAAGUGCCUGAUCCAACAACAAUGCUUCAUUACAUAAAAACAGACAUUUCACCCUUGCUAAUUUGGAUAAUCAAUACUAACAUUUAUCUUGACUUGUUUCAUUCUUUCUUAUUGCUCUAGAUCAGAUUUUUAAAACAAAUAAAGACUCCAACAAGAGCUGACUACCUAGUGCAAUAUCAACACAGCUACUCUUUCUUAAAUCAGGCUGCACCGUGGAAAAACAAGGAUUAACAUUACAAUCUCAGUCCUUCAACAUUUCAAUCUAACAAUAGUCAUCUCAAUCUACCAAAUUUCUAUUAUACUGAGAAAUAGUAUGGUCCCCAACUUAAGGAAGACCAUCUAGAACAAGAAAAUGCUUCUGCAUACAAGCUAUCAUUGAUUAGGCCUCUACAAUAAACUUGAAGGGUCACAAAAGAUGUCAUAUCAUAUAUAAUAUAGCAUGAAACUUUGGAAUUCACUUCUGAAAAUGACAAUAAAACUACAGUAAAAAAGUAAAGAAAUAGUUGGAGAUCAGUUCACACGCGCACAAAAGAACACAAUACCAAACAUUAAUAAUGACUGGUCCGAAAAAAAGAAAAAUGGUGUUACUCGGGUGCUUUGAAAGACCUAAGAAAAGAAAAGAAUGGGAAGGUAUAUCCGGGUACUGAGAAAUCCCCUGUGGUGUUACACUUGAAAAGUUUCAGCCUCUUGCUAAUGAGAUUUGAAAAUUAACAAUAACCAUUGACAUGAUUGUUAGCCAGCAAAACUAAUUCACUACGGUCUACCAGACUUAUAAGUUUAGGGCCACAAUUUUUUUUAUAGAAUUGUAAGUAAUACUUCCACAAUUUUUCUUGUACAUCUUUUGAGUAGUAACUGAAUCAGUCUUACAACUUGCAUUGCAUGUAGAACCAGUUUCUAAGCUCAUUGUGGAAUAAUUACUCAAGCAUGUGGAGUUUUCAAACAUAGUUAUUUCCAGAUAAUUGGCUGAUGAGCACUCUCAACAUAAGACAUUCUCAGGACUAGAAAUGUACCUGCUAAUGAAGUCAUUUAUCACUGCCUCAACGGUAUCUAGAGUAAAGUUAUUUCCAUGUAAUUUCUUUCUAAGUUCAACUGCUGUGAAAGCCCUACAAAGAAAAAGAGCUUCUUAAACAAUUUUUUUUUCUUCUUCAUUCACAGGCAAACAUCCUUAUUUUCAAACUUCUAUAGCAUCUUAACUCCAGGAAUGCAUAUGCUCAAACCCUCAGAUUGCUAUGGCAAAAUCAUGUACUUCUUUUGUUCAGAACUCUGUCUGCUGAUAAUUCUCCGACAUUUUAACUUGAGAAGAUUUCUUGGGAAUGUACCUAAUGAGAAGCGAUGAACUGUAACCUCUGCUUUUCAAGCAUGUGAUUGCAAUUUUCUCCCUAGCCCUACAAAUGAAAGAUUCCGUAUAUACUACAAAUGGCAGUUGCUUCUUUUUUUUUUUGGUCCAGUUUUCUCUGGUGCACAAACUUGUUAUGAUAUGUUAUGAUAACAGGCUGCUUUUUUCAAAUAAAGCAAUGCUAGGAAGUUUCUUUUUCAAAAAGCAGGUUGUUUGGCCGGCCCUCUGGAUUCUGGUGUAACGCAUACUAGUCAAAUAAUAGGAAAUUACAUAUAACCAUGCAUCUAAAUUUGGAAAAUUAAUAUGAACCAAAAAUAAUCACAAGAACAAACAGUUGGUUAUAAAACAGAAAAUAAAGUAAAAAAUGAAUCUAGACUGAUAUUUGGCCUCCCAAAAAACAGAAUCCAAACUGCUUGAUCUAAUAAAAUGAAAAUGUAAAGCGAUGUUGCAAUUCAUUUUUGGUUUACUUCUUUGGCAGUUGGAAAUUAGUAGAGAUAUUCAGAUCAUAUUCAUACGAUUAUUGAAUUAUAUUGGGAAAUACCAUUUACUGUUCCCAUAUGAUCAAGUUUAUUGAUGAAACACUAUUCAUAUACUUGUUCAUACUUGGAAAGGAAAGGGAAGGAAAGGGAAGAAACAACAAAAACAAAAGCUAGUUACAUGGUACUGAGAGGCAGUACUCCAUUAUACGUAUAUAGUAGCCUAUGUGGAUAUCAAUUUAAAACAAAAGGAGCCAAAAAUGACAGAAAUAAUUGGCGAGUUUUAUCUCUUUUUUACUUUUUUUACAAAACAAGCUAAGUUCUUGUUGUUGAAAUAAAACAGAAAACAAAAAGAGAGAAAUGAAUCUAGACUGACUUUUGGCCUCAUAAGAAAACAGAAUCAAAACUGCUUGUAACCCAAGAAAGGGAAAUAAUCCGGGUCUUUUAUGAAAAACAAAGAAAUAUAUAUAUAUAUUUUUUUGCUAUUCUGGACUUUUCUGUGUUCACAGGGAGUGGUAAGGGCUCCAAUUUUUGGGGACAUGACAGCUAAUCCAAUUAAAAUCACUUGCCUGAAAAUAUGGAAUUAUUUUACUACAGAUCAUAAGAGAGAGAGCCAAUGAUUGACCAAAUUCCAACAUGUAUAUAUGAUCAUAUCAGAAAAUGAGGACAGCAACCAGAACCAAUAUUAUAAAACUAUGCACGCUACGUUCAAGCAGGAUUCUUCAACUGAAUUGCUUUUCCCAUGCCCAAGAACACAAAAAUUAGCUACUUGGUCACCAGGAAAGUAAAGUCACAAUCUCUAACAUUUCUUCAAGUAACUAGAUAUAACUGGAGCUCUAACCAUUGAUGCAAUUUUAAAAUAGGUUCAUCUAUCAUUAAAUUGCAGCAAAACAUCUACAUAACCUAAAGAAAUUCCAUGGAAUUCCGUAGUCCAUGGCUUCCAACACAAUGUGACAGGUGCAAAAGAUUCUAGAUACUUACAUAAAAGAAUGUCACAUUGUUGUAAUUUUCAUAUCACUCACCAUGACACCUAAACAGUUGAAACUUCAAAGUGCAUGCAAUAAAUAUGUGAGUGUAAAAUACCUGCAAAAGAAAUGGUUCCAUCCCAGUAAAUGUGUUUGCAUCAUGCCACAGUGAACUAAUCAAAUGAUCAAGAUAUACCUUCCAACGGAUACCGCCUCCAGCAAUAUUGGUGACCUAUGUCCCAUCUCCUUUUCACCAAACUAAUCAAAGGCUUUUACUAGUGAUAUUCUAAUUAACAAACAUCAAGUGCACACAUUAGACAAUAGUCAAAUAUUAAUUAAAAGAAGUAGCAUAAAAUCACAAACCAUGUUAUGUUUACCAACCCCUCAAAGAAACAUCUAUUCUAAUUAAGCUUUAAUACCAAUAAAAAUACAAUACAUCACAAACUAUCCCUGCCUUAUCUAAGACAACUGAAACAUAGUUAUUUUCACAAGUACUACCUCAACUGAAACAUCCAAGGCCUAAUAUGCAAUCAUAUGCUACACAGAUGCUUCAUUGCCUACAAAUUCAUACAGUGCUUCAAUAAACCGUCCUCUAAACUUAUUCCAAAGUAUAAAGAAAAUUAAAUUCCGUUUUCAAAGUGAGAAUUUUCCCAAAUUAAUCAUAGGUGCCUGAAAAAAAUCUUAUGGAGCUCGAGAUAGGACAAGCAUCAAAAUUGACAGACACCCAAGCAAAAAACAACAAAAAAUUUCUGUGAAGUUCAACCAAAAUACAGAGAUAAACUGCUUUUUCAACAUAUUCACAAAAACGUCAGUCACAAAUAGUCUAAUUUUACGACACUUAAGCAAUGAUAGAGAAAAAAAAAUUAACUUUUUUGAUAAAAAGAGAGUACCUGGAGGUUCGUGAUGUAAGUAAAUUGUGACCUUCUCUGUUCCUUUGCAUCUUCGUCUAUAUGCGAGAGAGAUGGGCUUGAAAAAGGAAGGGAGGGUUAGUAAGAUUGUUAUUCAAAAAGAAUGAAAUCAGGUGUCAUGGUGCAAUUUUCAACAGCCAGCACUAAGGUUGAGUACCUGUGAUGAUAACAUCUGAACCAAACAAUAGAUUUUUAACAAUGGCAUUUUGGUGUUCCCAUGAUAGGAAACCCUUGAAGUGAUCAUAGACAUUCUAGUUACCAAUUUCACCUUCUCAAGACUACAUUCUGAAUGAUGUCAUUUUGACCUCAAAUUGAAUUGUCGAUCACUGCAAAUUCUUUUUUCUUUUCUUCAUAAACCAUGAAAGAAACCUGAUCUUUCCACAGCAUCUAUAGAAAAUGGUUCUCAUUUACAAUUAAAUAGAAAGGAAAAUCAAAGCAUUGCAAACAUUUAAAAGUAGGUGUGCUAAAGCAUUGCAAACAUUUUAUAACAAGGCCAAACUGGUCAACGUUAUAAAAUAACAUGUAUAAUAGUAUGCUGGAGAUUUGACGUCGUUAAUGGUGUCCAGAGCCUGCAAAAAAGCAUCAGCAAUAUGGAACACCCACUCACCUGAUAAUGAUAUUGAGCGAGACUAUUAAGAGUCAAAUACAUGCAUAACAUAGAACACUAAAUAACUGGUAUUUCCUCAGGACUCAAACUGCAAGAGUUUCUGUAUAAUAUAGGUUUAAGUUCAAGGUGACCAUUCAAGCACUCAGUCAUAAGAAUGAAAGUAAUACACCAAAGUCAAUUUAAUGAAAAAACAAGGUAAAAGAUCAGAGUAUUCUUAGAAUAUUACAUUCUCCAUAAAAAGCAAAUAAAGUUUCACAUUCAUCAAACAGAGUCAUUAUCAAAACUUUCAUACGCCAUUUGAGACUGCACCAUUUGAGAGGAGUGCUGACGUUUACCUGUUUCAUUGUUUAGCAAAAAUAUAUCAAAUUCCAAAAGAGAAAAACCAAACCAGAAAGAAACAAAUAGUGAGUUAGUGAAACUUACAGCCAAAAGGCACCACACAUGGAUAAUUUAGUUGCACUUGAGUGGGCACCAAGUAGAAAACACUGAACACUAGAAGACCCCGUUUUGAUGGUUAACACGUCUUUACUGUCUGAAAGUUGAAAUUCGAAACUUGCCACAAAAAUCGGCAUCUUCCUCAAAACUCGGCCGUUGGGCUCAAAUCCAGUGUCAAUAGACAAUACCAGACAUAUCUCUUGACCUCCUAGAUGGACGAUCCUAUAAUCUAUUUCACGGGGUUUAGCCAUAUACAGAUCACGCAACCUUUCACAGCCUGGUUGAGUAGGUAACAGAUCAUCGGGCAAGCGCAGAGGUUGAAUAGGUGUGAGUGAUGUAAAAUCCUUUGACAUGAUAUAGGCAGGCAAAGAUGUACCAUGCCAUUCAAAAUGACGAUCAGGCGCAAGCUGAUGACGAUAAGGAGGAUAAAAAUCCACGUUUGAGUUGUUGCAGUCGUAAUCGUCGCAGCAAGGGUUGUCUUUGAUUUCAUGAGGGUCAUAACUCAAUUCUAGGAAACAUGUGAAAAUCAACCAAUCCCCGUCACUCAUUUCCAGGGCUAAACUUUUCUCAUCCCAUCCGUAUGGCAAUGCAGUGCAGUUGGUAAAAGAGUGCUCUUUCCAUAUUUGGCGGCUGUCAGCCAUGUCAAAGCGGUAGAUACUAGACAAACAUGACACAAAGAUAUUACUGCCUACAACAACACUAUCGGUGUGGUGUCCACGGUAGCGUCUGUGGAAAAAUGGAGGCUCGGGCAAAGUCACCCAUUUGUCAUAUUUUGGGUCGAACAUCUCGAACCCCUCACCUGUUAACACGGAGAGAACAUAUAAAUUUUCCCUGUGCUCUACCACGUGGGGAUUAGUCUUCCCGUGUUGAAGGUCACCAUGGCGCUGUAUGCUAAGGGGAAUAUGUGACUUCAUAAUCGCAGUGUCAAACUCAAGAACUCUGCGACACGGAUUUGGUAUGAAAUUGGCUAAUCCAUCGAAUAUCGGUCUAAUGCCACCUGCCAAAAUGAUCUUGGAGCCGUGGACACCAGAACCCAUAAUUACAGGAGCACACCCCAUUGUUCUACCCACUUCAAUGGAUUCUGCCAAUGGAAGUACAUGGCAAUUUUUCUACAAAUCAAAGGCGUGUAUAUAGUAAACAUUACCAGUGCCUAGACAAUACUCGCUGAAACAAAAAUACAAGACUUUCUUCGACUUAUCCGACGGAUCAGGGUGAUCCUUCAGCUUCUCCAUACCUAGCCUCGGCUUUCUGGCUUCUUCACGCUUCGCUGCCAUCACAACGCACGGCCUCCAAUUUUACUCGUCAAUCCUUCAUAUAAUAAUUUAUUUAGAGCUUCUCCAGCGCAUCGGGCUGGCCCGGGCAACAGGCCCCAAGCAGCCCAAGUCGACCUCCAACGCAGCCAAAGCAGCCCGGGCAACAGGCGGGUCCCACGAGCCCGGGCAGGCCCAAUGGCGAAAAUCGACUGGGCUCGAGCCCGAGUUCAGGUGACGUCAGCGCAGUAAAUUCAAAUUUUUUUACCGUUGGCGCGUGUAAUACACACGCCAACGGUAAAAAAAUUUGACUGAAGUGCGCUGACGUCAUCACCAACGGUUACCUGCCACGUGCCGGCACCGGGUGGCUCCAAUUGGAUUUUUUUCAGAAAUCCUACGGUUCUCAUUUUUUUGGCCAAACAAAUUUAAAAAAAAUCCUAAAAAUCCUAAAAAAUUCUGAAAUUUUUUUUUAAAAAAUACCAAAAAUUUAUGUAUUUUUUCCUUGUAAAUACCUAACCAUUUUAUCUACUUUCAACACCAAAUCUUCAUACAAUUUCUUCUCCAUACAAUAUUUUCUACUCUCCACUCACAUAAUUCAUUUUCCACACCAAAUCUCCAUACAAACUCAUCUCCUUCCAAUAUUUUUUACUCUCUACUCAUAUUAUCCACUUUCCACACCAAUUCCAUACAAACUCUUCUCCUUCCAAUAUUUUUUACUCUCUACUUAUAUUUUCCACGUUCCACACCAAUUCCAUACAAACUCUUCUCCUUCCAAUAUUUUUUACUCUCUACUCAUAUUUUCCACACCAAUUCCAUACAAACUCUUCUCCUUCCAAUAUUUUUUUACUAUCCACUCACAUUUUUGUACAACUUUCCAUUUGUAGAAAAUAAACAAAUGUCAUCUUCUGUCGAAAUCGGAGGCUCGUGGUCAACCCAGGAAGAUAUUGCGUUGUGCGAGUCUUGGGUGAACGUUAGUCAUGACCCUAUCACGGGCAAUGAGAUGAAGUUCCAUCAUAUGUGGAGCAAAAUUCAUGGAGAAUUUUGUCAAAGAUCGGGUUCCAUUCGGACCGAAAUGGCUUUGUCUAGUAGAUGGAAAAUUUUAAACAAAGAGUUAGGGAAAUGGAGAAAUGUCUUGACAAAAGCAAAGGAGAACAUUCGGAGCGGUGCGAAUCUUUCUGAUGAGGUAAAAUAUUUUUAAUUGCCAUUUUAAUCAAUUUAAUGUAACUUUUUUUUAUUGCAUUUUCUAUUUCUUUACAUAAUCAAUUUUUGUUUUUGCAUUUUCAAUUUGUCUAUAUUUAUUUACAUAAUCAAUUUUAUUCUUGCAUUUCAAAAUAGUUUAUAAUUUCUUGCAUUGUAUAUUUUUUUAAUGCACUUCCAAUUAUUUAUUUUGAAUAGAUCAUACAAGCACAAAUGUGGUUCGGUGCCACGGGGCAAGGAAAAAAAAGUUUUGUGCAUUUCCAAUGUUGGGAAAUUGUCAAGGAUUGUUCCAAAUUCAAAAUUAUUCCUACCGCACCCCCGGUUGUGUUGCAUGAGACGCCGCUCCACAAAUCGCCAUCAACCGAUUCGCCAUUGGACUCCCCAAUGGAAACGGAGUCACCACUCCCACGUCCGCUGAGACCUAUUGGGAGAAAGGCGGCAAAGGCCAAGAGAGAGGCCACUUCGAACAUUGAUUGUGUUCAAAUAUUCGAGCAAAUAGCUAAGAACAACUCUCUAAGAUUGGAGAGAGACUUGAGGAGAGAUGAAGCGGACAAGGCACGAUUGGAAGCCUUUGCAAUUGAAAAGCAACAUGCAAAAGAAAAAGAUGACGAUGAGAGAGAGAUGAAAAUCAUGGCCAUGGAUACGAGCCAUAUGUCUCCUGAAACAAAGGCCUAUUGGAAACAUAAACAAAGGGAUGUGAUGAGAAGAAAACUUUUCCAUGACGACGGACCUACCAAUACGGAUUGGCUAAAGAAGUAGGCCAAAAAACAAAAGUGAAGAAACAAAUUUUAUAUUUUUAAAUUAUUAAAAAUAACAAAUAAAAAUGAGUAUAGCCGUGCGGUUGUACUAUGCAUAUCUUUAAAAAAAAGGGCGCCCCCUAGCUGCCACGUGUCAGAAGACUGAAGCCUUAUUAUUAAUUUUUUUUUGUAAAAAGGAAAGGGAGUACAGCCGCGCGGCUGUACUUUCUUUAAAAAAAAUUUUCAAAAAAUAGUACAGCCGCGUGGCAAUACUAUUAUAUAUUAGGAUUUCUUUAUUCUAUCCAAAGGACGAUGUUGCCCCCACAUAUUUUAAUGGGGGAAAAUUUGAAUUUUUGAUCGAGAAAGAAUUUGGGAAUUCCGCUUGCGUUGUUGCGUAGAGCACGGCAAAACGAGUCCGUAGACACGGAGUAGAUCCGAAUCGGAGUUGUAACGAAGAAAAUACGGUCAAAAUACCGCGAAGGGCAAAAUGGUAAUUUGGCCAAAGUCAGAUUUUUAUCCCUCUCCUCCUUCUCUCUCCUCAUUUCUCUCUCCUCUCUCUCUCUCUCUCCUCCCGAUUCGACCUCGCCCACGACCUCCGCUGGCUUCCGUCGUCCUAGCGGCCGCAACACUUGGAGCCGAUCUCCAAGACCGGUGCCAAACGAACCACCACUCGACCGCCAACAUUUCCAGACCCGUCGCCGCCGCUUCCGUGGCCGGAGUUCGCCGGAAACGGCCAUUGUUUACCGAUUUCCAGUUCAAACUUCCAGCUCGUUUUUUCUCCUUCAAUUCUCCACCAAAUCGAUCGAGUAAGGUAUGGUUUCUCAGCUAUUUUUCGUGUUCUAGCUGAUGGAUGUAUGGGUUUCGAUCGAUUUCACCUCUAGAUCACUCGAUUUUCGACUUUAAAAUCGGCUGAAACUUCGGCCGCCGUGAUCUACUGGUUUCGGUCACUUUUUGGGGUGUGUCCAAGAACAAAAGUGACUCCAAAUGGGGUGUUUUACCUAGGAUAGGAGUUUGGAGUCUUGGUUCCGAGAUUUUUCGACCACCCGAAAUCGCGUAGGACACCCAAAUCUGCCCGCGCGUGAGGCAGCACGUGGGCGAGGGUGGUGAAGUAAUUCUGUGCAGUUUUGUGAUCCUCGUGUCAUCACGAGCGCGUAGGAUUUCUCGGAUCUCGAUUCGGAGUCCGUUUGAGCCCCGAACGGAUUUUCCAUAUCGCGCGAUCCUUGGGUUCAGUGUCGUCUAAUCGUUGGAUCGCAAUGAAUUUUGGAUAUGUCUGUCUACAUGAUUCCAGGAUCGUGUCGGAUUUGACGGAUUGCGAAUCGGAGUCCCGGAUACUCCGAAAUCGCGAACCCUGGGGCUAGGGUUUGGAUUUUAAGCGAUAACGCGAUUUUGGCUAAUCAGACCGUCCGUUUCGGACCGAAUUCGCGGAACAUGGUUCCUUCUCUAUGAGGAACCUUCAGAGAGGCCCAGAUUGGCCAUCGGAGACCGUGGACCCACGGGGUCCCGGAUCGGCCGGUCUGGUGGUUUAUCGCUUAGUUAAGCAUCGGGUCUUCCAAAACUGAUCUAAGUGUCUGAAAGGCUAAGGUGGGCAUAGGAGUAACUUGAAACGAGUGCACGUAAUUCUAGGAGCCGCGGGCAGGGUGUUUAAUUUAAAUUCUUUUUAUUUAGCAAUUUAUUAAUUUAUUAUUCAUGGAUAAUCAUGCAUCAGAGGUCCAGUCGACCCGCAGGAGGGACCUUCGAAGGGUCCAGUUAGCUCGGACCAUCAGUGAGUGGACUUUUCUUUCCUAAAAGAUUUUAUAAUUAUAUUUUAUAUUUGAUCUUGAAUAAGUGUUAUUACGUAGUUUCGAAGCAUGAUUUGCAUUGUGAAAUAUCUUUAUUUUUAUAAUAUUGGUUGAGCAGUAAACUUGAGACUUUUGAUACAAAGAUGGUAAUUUAGUUCAGAUUUAUCAGAUUUCAGAGAGUUAUCGGAUUUUCUAGUUAGACCACCAUGUACCCAUUUAUCUUUGGUGAUUACCCACAGUCGGACCGAUGUCUACGGACAUCCAGUCUGAUUUCAGUUACGUCAGUGCACUUGACUUCGCCUCAUGAGUUUCGGGGACGCUCGGACCGUGAGUGCCAGGAUUUGCGGCUCGGCAGACUUGGUGGCCCGAGACCUGCCAGGAUUGCGGCUCAGCUGACUCUGUGUCCCCGAGACCUGCCAAGAUUGCAGAUCAGGCUGACUGCGGUCCCCUGUAUCUUGCCAGAGCGGCUCGAGUUGACUUGGUGUCAUCGAGACCUGCCGGUGGAUCAGGCUGACCAUAGUCCCCUGUAUCUGCCAGUUUGCGGCUCGGGUAGCCUCCAUGACGCCGGAGACCUGCCAGGGGAAUUGACGGAUAUUACAGGGGUACAAUUAGGUGGUAGUUUCAAAGAAUUUGAGCUCUUUUAUCCAGUUAUGAUUUCCAGUGAUUUUAUACCAGUUUCUUUGAUAUUCAUGCAUUAUUAUCUUUAUAUAUUUGAUCAGUUAGGCAAGUAUAUUCAUCAGCAUAUUUAUUCAUGUUUAUUGAAUUCCUUAUAUUGAAAUAUAGUUAAAUUAUCGAUUUAUAUCCCUAGUAUUUCAAAACGGGGGUUAUUAUGUUCUAACUUGUUUUUAAGAACAUUAUUUUUGUCCACUCACAACUUUGAACUUGUUUUUCGCCCCCAGGCCGUAGAAGUACGAAGGAAAUCACUCGGGCCAUCUUCCCAGCUUUCGCCCCACCACCAAAGUGUAGGAUCUCGUUGUACAUUCUUAUAGUUUUGUAAAUUUGUAGAAAAGCUCUCAUAUCUAGUUGAAACUGAGAUUAUUGAAGUUGAGAUCUGUUGUUUGAGAUAUUCUGGCAGUUGGUUUGGUUUUUGAGCUUGUUUGACAGGUGCAAGACUUUGGGUUUGGCCAAAAUACAGGGGAGACUCUGCCGAAUUUUCGGCAGAAGUCGAAGGGGAAUUUUAAAAAGAUUUUGAAACGAGAAGGGUAAAAAGGUCUUUUGUGCCCGACAUUCGCCAGGUGUCGGACACGCACAGGAUUCGGCUCGGAUUCCAAAGGGGAAAUUGGGUCAGGUCCUGUCAACUUUUUUUUAAAAAAAAAAAAGGGAAAAGCGCAUACAGCCGCGCGGCUGUACUUUCUCAAAAAAAAAUUCAAAAAAAUAGUACAGCCGAGCGGCUAUACUAUUAUAUAUUUGUAAAGACCAGCCCAUGCGCUCGGCCCACGUGUCAACGAGGUCCAGCCGCCCGGCUAUGCUGUUUUAAAUGCCAAAACGAGUAUAGCCGCGCGGCUAUACUUUCUUUUUGGAAAACAAUUAGGGAAAACUUGGGCUAUACCCUUUUUUUCUUUUUCUUUUUCUUUUUCUUUUUUUCAAUAAACAAAAAAGUAUAUAUUGUUUUUAUUUGGUAAUACGUGUAUAAUGCGUGGAUUUUGUGUGUCUUAGUUAAAUUUUUGUAAAAACAUACGUGUAUUAAACGUGAGAAAUACUGCGUACGUGUAUAAUACGGGUAAUAACUUUGGAAAAGUAAAGAAUCAAAAAGGGACGAUACAUACUCGAGUAAUGGCAUAAUAGUAACGGAUAGGGCUCUUGGGCUAUGGAGAAAUUGAAUUAAGACACCCAAACGAAUUCACAAAAGACUUAAUAAGUAGAAAUUAAUUACUUUGUGUUCUUUUUCUUCGAUCUUUUUACAUUAAAUAAUAAUUAAAAUAUAAUUACUAAGCAAAGUGAUUAAAAAAGGCUAAGAGUAACCAUAGUAAAUUAAAGAAGUAGGCCAAAAAACAAAAGUGAAGAAACGAAUUUUAUAUUUUUAAAUUAUUAAAAAUAACAAAUAUAAAUUAGUAUAGCCGUGCGGCUGUACUAUGCAUAUCUUUAAAAAAAGGACGCCCCCUAGCUGCCACGUGUCAGAAGACUGAAGCCUUUGUUUUUAUUUUUUAUUUUUUAAAAAAAUGGAAAAGCGAGUACAGCCGCGCGGCUGUCAGAAAAUAGUACAGCCGCGCGGCUGCACUAUUAUAUAUUUGUAAAUACCAGCCCAUGUGCUCAGCCCACGUGUCAACGAGGUCCAACCGCCCGGCUGUGCUGUUUUUAAUGCCAAAACGAGUAUAGCCGCGCGGCUAUACUUUCUUUUUGAAAAACAAUUUGGGAAAACUUGGGCUAUACCCUUUUUUUCUUUUUCUUUUUCUUUUUUUCAAUAAACAAAAAAUUAUAUAUUGUUUUUAUUCGGUAAUACGGGUAUAAUGCGUGAAUUUUGUGUAUCUUAGUGAAAUUUUUGUAAAAACAUACGUGUAUUAAACAUGAGAUAUACGUGCGUAUGUGUAUAAUACGGGUAAUAACUUUGGAAAAGUAAAGAAUCAAAAAGGGACGAUACAUACUCGAGUAAUGGCAUAAUAGUAAUCAUAGUAAAUUAAAGAAGUAGGCCAAAAAACAAAAUUGAAGAAACAAAUUUUUUAUUUUUAAAUUAUUAAAAAUAACAAAUAAAAAUGAGUAUAGCCGUGCGGCUGUACUAUGCAUAUCUUUAAAGAAAAGGACGCCCCCUAGCUGCCACGUGUCAGAAGACUGAAGCCUUUUUUUAUUUUUGCGAGGACAGCCGCACGGCUGUACGUUCGUUAAAAAAAAUUUCAGAAAAUAGUACAGCCGCGCGGCUGCACUAUUAUAUAUUUGUAAAGACAAGCCCAUGUGCUCAGCCCACAUGUCAACGAGGUCCAGCCGCACGGCUAUGCUGUUUUUAAUGCCAAAACGAGUAUAGCCGCGCGGCUAUACGUUCUUUUUCGAAAACAAUUAGCGAAAACUUGGGCUAUACCCUUUUUUUCUUUUUCUUUUUCUUUUUUUCAAUAAACAAAAAAGUAUAUAUUGUUUUUAUUCGGUAAUACGUGUAUAAUGCGUGAAUUUUGUGUGUCUUAGUGAAAUUUUUGUAAAAACAUACGUGCAUUAAACGUGAGAAAUACUGCGUACGUGUAUAAUACGGGUAAUAACUUUGAAAAAGUAAAGAAUCAAAAAAGGACGAUACAUACUCGAGUAAUGGCAUAAUAGUAACGGAUAGGGCUCUUGGGCUAUGGAGAAAUUGAAUUAAGACACCCAAACGAAUUUACAAAAGACUUAAUAAGUAGAAAUUAAUUACUUUGUGUUCUUUUUCUUCGAUCUUUUUACAUUAAAUAAUAAUUAAAAUAUAAUUACUAAGCGAAGUGAUUAAAAAAAGGCUAAGAGUAACCAUAGUAAAUUAAAGAAGUAGGCCAAAAAAAAAAAGUGAAGAAACGAAUUUUAUAUUUUUAAAUUAUUAAAAAUAACAAAUAAAAAUGAGUAUAGCCGUGCGGCUGUACUAUGCAUAUCUUUUAAAAAAAAGGACGCCCCCUAGCUGCCACGUGUCAGAAGACUGAAGCCUUUUUUUAUUUUUGCGAGUACAGCCGCGUGGCUGUACGUUCGUUAAAAAAAAUUUCAGAAAAUAGUACAGCCGCGCGGCUGCACUAUUAUAUAUUUGUAAAUACCAGCCCAUGUGCUCAGCCCACAUGUCAACGAGGUCCAGCCGCACGGCUAUGCUGUUUUUAAUGCCAAAACGAGUAUAGCCGCGCGGCUAUACUUUCUUUUUGGAAAACAAUUAGCGAAAACUUGGGCUAUACCCUUUUUUUCUUUUUCUUUUUCUUUUUCUUUUUUUCAAUAAACAAAAAAGUAUAUAUUGUUUUUAUUCGGUAAUACGUGUAUAAUGCGUGAAUUUUGUGUGUCUUAGUGAAAUUUUUGUAAAAACAUACGUGUAUUAAACGUGAGAAAUACUGCGUACGUGUAUAAUACGGGUAAUAACUUUGGAAAAGUAAAGAAUCAAAAAAGGACGAUACAUACUCGAGUAAUGGCAUAAUAGUAACGGAUAGUACAGUGUCGUCUAGCCGUUGGAUCGCACCCCAUUUCGGAUAUGUUGUUCUACAUUGUUUCAGGAUAGCGUAGGAUUCGACGGAUUGCAAAUACCUUCCGUGUGGCUGUACUAUGAAUAUCUUUAAAAAAAAAGGACGCCCCUGGCUGCCACGUGUCAGAAGAGUGAAGCCCUUUUUUUAUUUUUUUUAUUUUAAAAAAAAGGAAAAGCGAGUACAUCCGCGCGGCUGUACUUUCUUUAAAAAAAAUUUCAAAAAAUAGUACAGCCGCGCGGCUAUACUAUUAUAUAUUUGUAAAGACCAGCCCAUGUGCUCAGCCCACGUGUCAACGAGGUCCAGCCGCACGGCUAUGCUGUUUUUAAUGCCAAAACCAGUAUAGCCGCGCGGCUAUACUUUCUUUUUGAAAAACAAUUAGGGAAAACUUGGGCUAUACCCUUUUUUUCUUUUUGUUUUUCUUUUUUUCAAUAAACAAAAAAGUAUAUAUUGUUUUUAUUCGGUAAGACGUGUAUAAUGCGUUAAUUUUGUUUGUCUUUGUGAAAUUUUUGUGAAAACAUACGUGUAUUAAACGUGAGAAAUACGUGCGUACGUGUAUAAUACGGGUAAUAACUUUGGAAAAGUAAAGAAUCAAAAAGGGACAAUACAUACUCGAGUAAUGGCAUAAUAGUAACGGAUAGGGCUCUUGGGCUAUGGAGAAAUUGAAUUAAGACACCCAAACGAUUUCACAAAAGACUUAAUAAGUAGAAAUUAAUUACUUUGUGUUCUUUUUCUUCGAUCUUUUUCAAUAAACAAAAAUUUAUAUAUUGUUUUUAUUCGGUAAUACGGGUAUAAUGCGUGAAUUUUGUGUAUCUUAGUGAAUUUUUUGUAAAAACAUACGUGUAUUAAACAUAAGAAAUACGUGCGUAUGUGUAUAAUACGAGUAAUAACUUUGGAAAAGUAAAGAAUCAAAAUGGGACGAUACAUACUCGAGUAAUAGCAUAAUAGUAACCAUAGUAAAUUAAAGAAGUAGGCCAAAAAACAAAAGUGAAGAAACAAAUUUUAUAUUUUUAAAUUAUUAAAAAUAACAAAUAUAAAUGAGUAUAGCCGUGCGGCUGUACUAUGCAUAUCUUUAAAAAAAAAGGACGCCCCCUGGCUGCCACGUGUCAGAAGACUGAAGCCUUUUUUUUAUUUUUUUAUUUUUUUAAAAAAAAGGAAAAGCGAGUACAGCCGCGCGGCUGUACUUUCUUUGAAAAAAAUUCAAAAACUAUUACAGCCGCGCGGCUAUACUAUUAUAUAUUUGUAAAUACCGUCCCAUGUGCUCAGCCCACGUGUCAAAGAGGUCCAGCCGCCCGGCUAUUGACAGGACCCGACCCAAUUUCCGCUUUGGAAUCCGAGCCGAAUCCUGUGCGUGUCCGACACCUGGCGAAUGCCGGGCACGAAUGACCUUUUUACCCUUUUCUUAAACAAAUUUCUUAAAAUUUACCUUCGACUUCUGCCGAAAAUUCGGCAGAGUCUACCCUGUAUUUUGACCAAACACAAAGUCUUCCACCUGACAAACAGUCUCAAAAAUCCUACCAGUUCCUUAUGUUCAACAAGAUCUCAGAGCAUUUCUAUACAAAUUUACAGGAUUUACAAAAGAGUUACAAUGAACUCCUACACUUUGGUGGUGGGUCGGAAGCUAGGAUGAUGGCCCGAGUGGUUUCCUUCGUUCUUCUACGGCCUGGGGGGCGCAAAACAUUAAAAGUGUGAGUGGACCAAAAUAGAGUUCUCAAACAGUGUAUGAACAUAAUAACCCCCACUGUAAAAAUAAAACUGAAUAUGUAAACUGCACUGAAUUAGGGUAAAUUCAAGCAUCCUCAUAAAUAUAUACAUAUAUAUAUAUAUAUAUCCCGAUGUAGGAUAUGCUCAAUACCAAGGAAAUAUUGAGUAAAAAUCACUGAAAUUUCUUUAAAACUACCACCUAGGUGUACCCCUGUAAAACUGUCAAAUCCCCUGGCAGGUCUCGGCGACACAUAGUGUAUCCGAGCCGCAAACUGGCAGGAUUCAGGAGACCGUAGUCAGGCUGAUCCGCAAUCCUGGCAGGAUUCAGGAGACCGUAGUCAGCCUGAUCCGCAAUCCUGGCACUCACGGUCCGGGCGUCCCCAAAACUCGUGAGGCAAAUGUCAAGUGCACUGACGUAACUGAAAGUAAACUGGAUGUCUGUAGACAUCAUCAUAUCCGAAGGCAACAUAAACCGAAGGCAACCUGGAUGUCCGUAGACAUUGUCUUAUUUGACGGCAACCUGUUCUGUAGAUGGGUACCCACAGUGGUUUAAGAAAAUAUAAACUGCUGAGAAAAUGUAAUAUAAUAAUAUAAUAAUGUUUCUGAAAGAUCUGAGGAAUAACUGAAUCAAUCUAUAACUGUGCUGCCCUUUUUAUCUGAUAGAAAACUCAAACUCUGCUUUCGAUAAUUCAUGGUGGACUAAAAAUAGUUAUCUGACAAUUCUCUGAAAUCUGAUAAUUUAACUGUAGUCGUAAUGCUUAUAUAAAGCUCAAGGUCUGCUGCUACUAUAACCUCAAUAAUAUAUGUAACUCAAAGUAUUUGACCGUAUAAAACCUGCUCAAGACUUGCAAGAAUACUUAUUCAAGAUCAAUAAAUUAAAUGCAUUUGCAUAAAAUCAUUUAUAAAAGAAAGGUCCACUCACUGCUGGUCCGAGCUAGCUAGACCUCUUAAAGGUCCCUCCUGUGGAUUAGCUGGACUCCUGGUGCCUGAUUAUCCAUGAAUAAUAAAUUAAUAAACUGCUGGAUAAAUAGAAUUUUAAAUCAAAUACCCUGCCCCCGGCUCUUAGAAAUAUAUACAUUUCGUUCUAGAUCACUCCUAUGCCCACCUUAGCUCUUUUUAGAUACUUGGACCACUUUUGGAAGGUCCGACGCUCAGUUAAGCGAUAAACUGUCAGAUCGGCCGACCCGGGACCCGUGGGGUCCACGAUCUCCGAUGGCCAAUCUGAGCUUCCCGGAAGGUUUCUCAUAGGGCGGGAACCAAGUUCUGCGAAUUUGGUCCGAAUCGGACGGUCGGAUCGGCCAAAAUCGCGUUAUCGCUUAAAACUCUAACCCUAACCCUAGCGUUCGCGAUUUCGGAGUAUCCGGUACUCCGAUUCGCAAUCCGUUGAAUCCUACAGGACCCUGAAACAAUAUAGAACAACAUAUCCGAAAUGUGAUGCGAUCCAACGGCUAGACGACACUGCACCCGGGAAUCGCAUAUUAUGGAAAAUCCGUUCGGGGCUCGAACGGACUCCGAAUUGAGAUCCGCGAAAUCCUACGCGCUCGUGACAAUACGAGGAUCACAAAAAUACCCAGAUUUACUACUGUACCCUCACCCACACGCCGCCACACGCGCUGGCAGCGGCGGGUGUCCAAAACGAUAACGGUUCGCCGGAAAAACUCCAAACUACGACUCCAAACUCCUAUCCUAGGUAAAACACCACAUUUUGAGUCACUUUUGUUNNNNNNNNNNNNNNNNNNNNNNNNNNNNNNNNNNNNNNNNNNNNNNNNNNNNNNNNNNNNNNNNNNNNNNNNNNNNNNNNNNNNNNNNNNNNNNNNNNNNUUUCUGCCAAACUUCAAGUCGAAAAUCGAAUGAUCUAGGGAUUGAAUUGAUCUAAACCCAGCCAACUAGCAGAUAGAGCACAAGAAAUAGAUGAAAAUCCAUACCUCACUCGACUUAUUUGGUGGAGAAUUGAAGGAGAAAAUCGAGCUGAAAGUUUGAACUGGAAAUCCGGCGAAAAUGGAUUUUUCCGACCAGCUCCGGCCACGGCAACUCCGACGAAGGGUCAAGAAACGUCGGUGGUCGAAUGGUGGUUCGUUUGGUACCAACGGCAGAGAUCGGUUCCAAGUAUGGUGGCCGUGGCGUCAAGGAGAAGGGGGAAAGGUCGGGCGGUUGGAGGAAGAAUCGGGAGGAGAGAGGGAGAAGAGAAAAAAAAUAAUGACGGGAUAGCAAGAGAAAAAUCUGGUUUUUUAAAAAUACUUCGAAAUAUUUACGAUUCUGCCACUGAGACUCUUUUAACCAUAAAUCCUUCGUUACAACUCCGAUUCGGGUCUACUCCAUGUCUACGAACUCGUUUCGCUGUACUCUACGCAACUGCAUAAGCGGAAUUGCCAAAUUAUUUUCCGAUCAAAAAGUCAAACUUUCCCCUUUUAGAAUAUGCGAGGGCAAAAUCGUCUUUUGGCUAGAAUAAAGAAAUCUCAAUUUUUAGAUAUUUUGGUUUGGGUUCUUACAGCUAUGCUGUUUUUAAUGCCAAAACAAUUAUAGCCGCGCGGCUAUACUUUCUUUUUGAAAAACAAUUAGGGAAAACUUGGGCUAUACCCUUUUUUUCUUGUUCUUUUUCUUUUUUUCAAUAAACAAAAAAGUAUAUAUUGUUUUUAUUUGGUAAUACGUGUAUAAUGCGUGAAUUUUGUGUGUCUUAGUUAAAUCUUAGUAAAAACAUACGUGUAUUAAACGUGAGAAAUACGUGCGUACGUGUAUAAUAGGGGUAAUAACUUUGGAAAAGUAAAGAAUCAAAAAGGGACGAUACAUACUCGAGUAAUGUCAUAAUAGUAACGGAUAGGGCUCUUGAGCUAUGGAGAAAUUGAAUUAAGACACGCAAACGAUUUCACAAAAGACUUAAUAAGUAGAAAUUAAUUACUUUGUGUUCUUUUUCUUCGAUCUUUUUACAUUAAAUAAUAAUUAAAAUAUAAUUACUAAGCAAAGUGAUUAAAAAAGGCUAAGAGUAACCAUAGUAAAUUAAAGAAGUAGGCCAAAAAACAAAAGUGAAGAAACAAAUUUUAUAUUUUUAAAUUAUUAAAAAUAACAAAUAUAAAUGAGUAUAGCCGUGCGGCUGUACUAUGCAUAUCUUUAAAAAAAGGACGCCCCCUAGCUGCCACGUGUCAGAAGACUGAAGCCUUAGUUUUUAUUUUUUAUUUUUCAAAAAAAGGAAAAGCGCGUACAGCCGCGCGGCUGUACUUUCUUUAAAAAAAAUUUCAAAAAAAUUGUACAGCCGCGCGGCUAUACUAUUAUAUAUUUGUCAAGACCAGCCCAUGUGCUCAGCCCACGUGUCAACGAGGUCCAGCCGGCCGGCUGUGCUGUUUUUAAUGCCAAAACGAGUAUGGCCGCGCGGCUAUACUUUCUUUUUGAAAAACAAUUUGGGAAAACUUGGGCUAUACCCUUUUUUUCUUUUUCUUUUUCUCUUUUUCAAUAAACAAAAAAUUAUAUAUUGUUUUUAUUCGGUAAUACGGGUAUAAUGCGUGAAUUUUGUGUAUCUUAGUGAAAUUUUGGAAAACUUACGUGUAUAAACAUGAGAAAUACAUGCGUAUGUGUAUAAUACGGGUAAUAACUUUGGAAAAGUAAAGAAUCAAAAAGGGACGAUGCAUACUCGAGUAAUGGCAUAACAGUAACCAUAGUAAAUUAAAGAAGUAGUCCAAAAAACAAAAGUGAAGAAACAAAUUUUAUAUUUUUAAAUUAUUAAAAAUAACAAAUAUAAAUGAGUAUAGCCGUGCGGCUGUACUAUGCAUAUCUUUAAAAAAAAGGACGCCCCCUAGCUGCCACGUGUCAGAAGACUGAAGCCUUUGUUUUUUAUUUUUUAUUUUUUUAAAAAAAGGAAAAGCGAGUACAGCCGCACGGCUGUACUUUCUUUAAAAAAAAUUACAAAAAAAUUGUACAGCCGCGCGGCUAUACUAUUAUAUAUUUGUCAAGACCAGCCCAUGUGCUCAGCCCACGUGUCGACGAGGUCCAGCCGCCCGGCUGUGCUGUUUUUAAUGCCAAAACGAGUAUAGCCGGGCGGCUAUAGUUUCUUUUUGAAAAACAAUUUGGGAAAACUUGGGCUAUACCCUUUUUUUCUUUUUCUUUUUCUUUUUUUCAAUAAACAAAAAAUUAUAUAUUGUUUUUAUUCGGUAAUACGGGUAUAAUGCGUGAAUUUUGUGUGUCUUAGUGAAAUUUUUGUAAAAACAUACGUGUAUUAAACUUGAGAAAUACGUGCGUAUGUGUAUAAUAUGGGUAAUAACUUUGGAAAAGUAAAGAAUCAAAAAGGGACGAUACAUACUCGAGUAAUGGCAUAAUAGUAACGGAUAGGGCUCUUGGGCUAUGGAGAAAUUGAAUUAAGACACCCAAACGAAUUCACAAAAGACUUAAUAAGUAGAAAUUAAUUACUUUGUGUUCUUUUUCUUCGAUCUUUUUACAUUAAAUAAUAAUUAAAAUAUAACUACUAAGCAAAGUGAUUAAAAAAAGGCUAAGAGUAACCAUAGUAAAUUAAAGAAGUAGGCCAAAAAACAAAAGUGAAGAAACAAAUUUUAUAUUUUUAAAUUAUUAAAAAUAACACAUAUAAAUGAGUAUAGCCGUGCGGCUGUACUAUGCAUAUCUUUAAAAAAAGGACGCCCCCUAGCAGCCACGUGUCAGAAGACUGAAGCCUUUGUAUUUAUUUAUUUUUUUUUUUUUAAAAAAAGGAAAAGCGAGUACAGCCGCGCGGCUAUACUGUUAUAUAUUUGUAAAUACCUAAAGAAAUCUCAAUUUUUAGAUAUUUUGGUUUGGGUUCUUACAGCUAUGCUGUUUUUAAUGCCAAAACAAUUAUAGCCGCGCGGCUAUACUUUCUUUUUGAAAAACAAUUAGGGAAAACUUGGGCUAUACCCUUUUUUUCUUGUUCUUUUUCUUUUUUUCAAUAAACAAAAAAGUAUAUAUUGUUUUUAUUUGGUAAUACGUGUAUAAUGCGUGAAUUUUGUGUGUCUUAGUUAAAUCUUAGUAAAAACAUACGUGUAUUAAACGUGAGAAAUACGUGCGUACGUGUAUAAUAGGGGUAAUAACUUUGGAAAAGUAAAGAAUCAAAAAGGGACGAUACAUACUCGAGUAAUGUCAUAAUAGUAACGGAUAGGGCUCUUGAGCUAUGGAGAAAUUGAAUUAAGACACGCAAACGAUUUCACAAAAGACUUAAUAAGUAGAAAUUAAUUACUUUGUGUUCUUUUUCUUCGAUCUUUUUACAUUAAAUAAUAAUUAAAAUAUAAUUACUAAGCAAAGUGAUUAAAAAAGGCUAAGAGUAACCAUAGUAAAUUAAAGAAGUAGGCCAAAAAACAAAAGUGAAGAAACAAAUUUUAUAUUUUUAAAUUAUUAAAAAUAACAAAUAUAAAUGAGUAUAGCCGUGCGGCUGUACUAUGCAUAUCUUUAAAAAAAGGACGCCCCCUAGCUGCCACGUGUCAGAAGACUGAAGCCUUAGUUUUUAUUUUUUAUUUUUCAAAAAAAGGAAAAGCGCGUACAGCCGCGCGGCUGUACUUUCUUUAAAAAAAAUUUCAAAAAAAUUGUACAGCCGCGCGGCUAUACUAUUAUAUAUUUGUCAAGACCAGCCCAUGUGCUCAGCCCACGUGUCAACGAGGUCCAGCCGGCCGGCUGUGCUGUUUUUAAUGCCAAAACGAGUAUGGCCGCGCGGCUAUACUUUCUUUUUGAAAAACAAUUUGGGAAAACUUGGGCUAUACCCUUUUUUUCUUUUUCUUUUUCUCUUUUUCAAUAAACAAAAAAUUAUAUAUUGUUUUUAUUCGGUAAUACGGGUAUAAUGCGUGAAUUUUGUGUAUCUUAGUGAAAUUUUUGUAAAAACAUACGUGUAUUAAACAUGAGAAAUACGUGCGUAUGUGUAUAAUACGGGUAAUAACUUUGGAAAAGUAAAGAAUCAAAAUGGGACGAUACAUACUCGAGUAAUGGCAUAAUAGUAACCAUAGUAAAUUAAAGAAGUAGGCCAAAAAACAAAAGUGAAGAAACAAAUUUUAUAUUUUUAAAUUAUUAAAAAUACCAAAUAUAAAUGAGUAUAGCCGUGCGGCGGUACUAUGAAUAUCUUUAAAAAAAAGGACGCCCCUGGCUGCCACGUGUCAGAAGAGUGAAGCCCUUUUUUUAUUUUUUUAUUUUAAAAAAAGGGAAAAGCGAGUACAGCCGCGCGUCUGUACUUUCUUUAAAAAAAAUUUCAAAAAAUAGUACCGCCGCGCGGCUAUACUAUUAUAUAUUUGUAAAGACCAGCCCAUGUGCUCAGCCCACGUGUCAACGAGGUCCAGCCGCACGGCUAUGCUGUUUUUAAUGCCAAAACCAGUAUAGCCGCGCGGCUAUACUUUCUUUUUGAAAAACAAUUAGGGAAAACUUGGGCUAUACCCUUUUUUUCUUUUUCUUUUUCUUUUUCUUUUUCUUUUUUUCAAUAAACAAAAAAGUAUAUAUUGUUUUUAUUCGGUAAGACGUGUAUAAUGCGUUAAUUUUGUUUGUCUUUGUGAAAUUUUUGUGAAAACAUACGUGUAUUAAACGUGAGAAAUACGUGCGUACGUGUAUAAUACGGGUAAUAACUUUGAAAAAGUAAAGAAUCAAAAAGGGACAAUACAUACUCGAGUAAUGGCAUAAUAGUAACGGAUAGGGCUCUUGGGCUAUGGAGAAAUUGAAUUAAGACACCCAAACGAUUUCACAAAAGACUUAAUAAGUAGAAAUUAAUUACUUUGUGUUCUUUUUCUUCGAUCUUUUUCAAUAAACAAAAAAUUAUAUAUUGUUUUUAUUCGGUAAUACGGGUAUAAUGCGUGAAUUUUGUGUAUCUUAGUGAAAUUUUUGUAAAAACAUACGUGUAUUAAACAUGAGAAAUACGUGCGUAUGUGUAUAAUACGGGUAAUAACUUUGGAAAAGUAAAGAAUCAAAAUGGGACGAUACAUACUCGAGUAAUGGCAUAAUAGUAACCAUAGUAAAUUAAAGAAGUAGGCCAAAAAACAAAAGUGAAGAAACAAAUUUUAUAUUUUUAAAUUAUUGAAAAUAACAAAUAAAAAUGAGUAUAGCCGUGCGGCUGUACUAUGCAUAUCUUUAAAAAAAAGGGACGCCCCCUAGCUGCCACGUGUCAGAAGACUGAAGCCUUUCUUUUAUUUUUUAGUUUUAAAAAAAAGGAAACGCGAGUACAGCCGCGCGGCUGUACUUUCUUUAAAAAAAUUUCAAAACAAUGGUACAGCCGCCCGGCUAUACUAUUAUAUAUUUGUCAAGACCAGCCCAUGUGCUCAGCCCACGUGUCAACGAGGUCCAGCCGCCCGGCUAUGCUGUUUUUAAUGCCAAAACGAGUAUAGCCGCGCGGCUAUACUUUCUUUUUGAAAAACAAUUUGGGAAAACUUGGGCUAUACCCUUUUUUUCUUUUUCUUUUUCUUUUUUUCAAUAAACAAAAAAGUAUAUAUUGUUUUUAUUCGGUAAGACGUGUAUAAUACGUGAAUUUUGUUUGUCUUAGUGAAAUUUUUGUAAAAACAUACGUGUAUUAAACGUGAGAAAUACGUGCAUACGUGUAUAAUACGGGUAAUAACUUUGGAAAAGUAAAGAAUAAAAAAGGGACAAUACAUACUUGAGUAAUGGCAUAAUAGUAACGGAUAGGGCUCUUGGGCUAUGGAGAAAUUGAAUUAAGACACCCAAACGAUUUCACAAAAGACUUAAUAAGUAGAAAUUAAUUACUUUGUGUUUGUUAUAAAAAUAACCUGGAAUAUGUAUGAAUAUUGAGCUGCACGUAAAGUAGAAGAGACACAGCAUUUAACGAGGUUCGGCUAUGCCUACGUCCUCGGAGAGCAGCAGCAGUAACUUUUUCACUAUAUAAAAUAAUAGGGCUACAAAUUUAGAGUUUACAAUAUGUGAGGCUCACUGAAUUUUCUCUCUCUUUCUUCUUCUCUCUUUUCUUUCUUCUUUUUCUCUUCUCCCCUUUCUUUCUUUUCUCCGUUGGUCACACUCCCCUUUACAAUCGGUAUGCGUAUUUAUAGGCUAAUGUUUAGGCAAAAUACAGGGAAGGGAAGGUUCCUGGAAGAUGCAAGGAAACUUCCUGAAUUGAUAAAUACAGGGAAGGAAAGUUCCUGGAAGAUGCAAGAAAACUUCCUGAAUUGAUAAAUACAGGGAAUGGAAAGUUCCUAGAAGAUGCAAGGAAACUUCCUCUGUGGGCUCCACCUUCAAACUUUUACAACACUCCCCCUUGGAGACCACAAAUGAUAUGGAAUAUGCCUCGUUAAAAACCUUGCCAGUAAAAACCCAGUGGGACAAAAACAGGUCGAAGGGAAAAAGAGUACAUAAUCACGUGUAACACAAAAUUCUGUGUAUAUUGACGCGCGUGCGACACUGCCUCGUUAAAACCUUGCCAGGAAAAACCCAGUGGGAUAAAAACCUGGACGAAGGAAAAAGAGUACAGUGUGUAAGGGUCUGUAUUGACAGCACGCUCCCCCUGAUGCUUGGCAAAAUAUCUUUAAGCCAUACUGUUGAUCAUCUGUCUGAAUAUCAUAGUUGACACUGCUGCUGUGAGUCAAUAGUGUAUGAAGGUCUUUAUUAAUACCAUGCUCCCCCUGAUGAAUAUCUCCCCCUGAAAACUUCAUGACUAGCUUUUUCCAGUAAGCGACCAUAGAGAUUUCCUGAGUCCGCAUAUCUUAGAACACUUGGGCUAUUUAUAAGUUCACUAAAAAAUAUGCCCGUAUAUGGUGUUAUGCUUAGAUAGCAUCAAAUAUACCUCACAUCAUCCCAAAAUGAUGGUGAUGGAGUUGAGCCCUAUUUGGAAAAUAUGAUGUCCGGUCCAAUAUACUUCCGGAAAAUCAUUAAAGUGUCCAACGGAUAAUCCUCAUAAAAAUACUUCAAUACUUUCUUAGUAUAAGCAAGAAUCUCGUUGGCAUAAUGCUCGAUCCUUAAGUCGAGACAAAUAUUUCGUGAAUUCUGCAGAAGCUUUAAUGUGUUGCAAUCACAUUAUAAUCAAUGUACUCACUGAGGUAAUUUAUGCAUAUUAAUAUUGAGUACAAAUUUUGUGCUUCAAGCACAUGUCCUUUAGGUACUUGCUUUAUGCAAUGUCAAUCCUCUCAACGGAUUUUGUUUAAAAGGGAUUAAACUUUAUGACACAUUAUAUAGCUUUAACCCAGCUAUUUAUACAUCUUUAGGGAAUCGCUUCUGGCGAUAUGCUCCGUGCAUUUAAUAACCCUUAAAGAUAAUAUGUUGGUCUCCGUAAUUGUGUAAUAAGGGGGGGCACAAUUGAAUCUGUAAAUAUGGAGAAAACCCAACAUUCCUUGUUUCUGCCAGAAACAGUGUGUCAUAUAAAGUAGAUAUAUUUCCUUUUAUUCCGAACACCCAAGUAUAACUUUCAGUAUUAACAAAUUUUGGGGUUCGUAUUGUGGGUUUGUUCUUUCACAUUCAUUCUCAUUUAUAAUGGAAUUACCUCGUUCCAUUUUGGCCAAUGAUAUUGUCGACAUUUAAUAAUUGAACGUGGUUCCAAUCAACACAGCCCAUUGAUGAUUUGAGUAGCUACUCCAAAACCAAAAAUUGUCAUUUAUCAAUUCAUGAUCUCACAAUUCUCAUGUGCAUGCGCAUGCAUCAAUUAUAAGCAUUCCUUUGCUUUUGGGUACCCAAGCCACUUCAUGGGGCUUUUAUUAUGUGAGAAUGUGGAUUUUAACCUCAAUUGGAGCGUUAUUUUACAUAGGGCGUGGAAAAUCUCCAUUUAGGGAGUUGGAACAUUUAGAACCCAUAUAUCUGUCAUGCUGCAAGCAUGCCACAGAUUAAUACAUACAUGUCAAUUAAUUUCUGGGACCUUAACCCAUAUUAUGGGACUUUAACCCAUAUAAUUUGCUACGCAUUAGGCGUGCAUAAUAUUAAUAUUGACAUGUCAAAGGAUUGUCCUUUCGGGACUUCAAUCCAUAUCAUUUGCUACGCAAUAGGCGUGCAUCAUAUUGAUCACUGCUAUACCCAUAUUCUGUUCUUAUGGGACUUUAAUCUGUGCAGUGUAUUAUCAAUGUAUCCAACUUGCAAUCUGUAAAAUUUGCGUUAAUAAUUCAUGGAUACAUACAAGUCAUUCUUUUGGAACGGACUUAUCUCCCCAUUUGGUUACCUUUCAAGAUAAAAUAUCAAAUAGGUAUAUAAGCAUAAAAUAACACAAGUAUUGCUUACAUCCUUAGGUGGGAGAAACUUUUCUCAAGUAUCAUUCAAGCUCAUAUCAGCCCAGUAAAUAUAAUGUAGCGCUUGAUGAUCUAGUUAUAUCCUGCAAGAGCAAAAAUCACAACUCUUUUGCCUCUGUCAAAACAAAUAACCCUCAUAGUUAGGAUUACUUCAUGGAUUCAUUCUUCAGAUGUUCAUUCUAAAGAAAUAAAAUCUCUUAUGAACAGAGAGUUAUAAAAAGAGAAAAAAUGCAAAAAUAAUGUGAUAUUGAUUGCAAGAGAAGGUAAGCAAUCAGGGAAGGAAGCUGGUGGGAGCAGACAAUAAGCUCUCAUAUCUCCUAGUCUAGAAGGACUCCCGGAGAUUAGAGCAUAAGAACGCCUUCACAGUUUCCUGAUGUAGUGGAAACGUGAUCAGGGAUAGUCUUGCUUCCUGAAUGGAUGAUCAGAGAUAGUCUUGCUUCUCAGGCAUAUUGAGUGCUCACUGAUAAGAAAAAUAAGUAGAUAUCGCAUCAUUAAGUAUGGAGUAAACUGGAUGUCUUCUGCAAAGGAAAAUUUCGUUAGUAACACAUUUAUACACAAAUACAAUGAAUAGGUAGAACUGGUAAAUUUCAAAUUAACCAUAGGAAAAUUGUGAGAUUCUCGGGAUACUUUUGAAAAAGUAGCUCCGUGAAAUCCGUAAAGAAAGAUCGGCUUUGAAAAUAAUACUUUGAAAAACGCCGAAAGUGCCGACAGGCAUUAUUAGAGGCCACGUGAAGUUUUGGACUCUGGGAAAGAAAAAGAUAAUAUGGGGAUUCGAGAAGACAUUGGGGUCCUGAAAAGUUGCCACAUUUUCGUCUAUAGAUAUUGCCUUUGCAAACUGCGUUUCAACUCAAUUUCCUUCAUUUUCCGAACCUUUAGUUUUUCUAAGACUUUCUUCGAAACCUUCUUAAAAAAAUGGCUUCCUCUUCUUCCUGCCCAAAUUAUUUCAAUUUAAAUGAUGCUCCCACAACAACCAGUAACGCCCAAGUUUGGCGUCCAUCCUUUGUAUCCAAAAAUCGUCAUCUCACAGUUAAUGAUUCUGUGAUGAUGAAUGAUGCUACUGCUGUCAUAGUAGCUAGGAAUUUCAUUACUCCAAUGGAUGAAAUGUUGUUGACAGGGAGAUCAGAGGAAGAGGCUAUUGAUGACUCAAUGGCUUUUAGCAUUCAGAGUGCUGCUUCUGUUUCUAACAUGGCUGAUCCUUUGCGUGCCAGAGCAAACGAAGUUGAGAAUUUAACAACUGAAAAUUCGUCUCUCCAAAGAAUGCUUCAUGAGUCUCAACAGGAGGUUGAGAAACUUAAAGGAGAGAAUAAUGCCUUGUUGAAACUGGUGAGUUCGUACUCUGUUGAUACACUGAGAAGGCUAGACAUGCUGCAGGUCUCCAAUGAAAGAAUUUUGGGAGACCACGAGAAGCUCAUGGCUAAGCUUAAGAGGCGCCGUCAUCUUCCUGCAGAGGCUUCCAGAACAUAAUGUAAUUUUUUUAUAGAUUUCACAGGGCCUGCACCUUCAUUGCAGGUGGAAAAAUCUAUCUGUUAUAUGUUCCUGUUAUAAUAAUUGCGCAUAUUCUUAAACUUGCACCUGUGGUUUUUACGUCUUUUCAAAAUGACGAUUUGGAACCUUGUGCCUUAUAGGUUCAAAUAACCACAUCGACUCUCCCAAAUUUCAUAUUUCAACGUAUGGUAGCCCGGAACUUAUGGCCUGGGCACAAACUCAGAAUUUAUUUGCCCUUUUCAAAUGGACAUGAAAUAUGAAUUGAGUAAAAGCCAUGAUAAUAUCGCAAUAUAGUAGUGAAGAGCAUUAACUACUAUAUACCCACAACUUCAAGUUUAGGAUCUCUCAUAUAUUUGGAUCCAUGGGCUUCCGGCCCAGAUAUAACAAAAUAUGUGGGGAGUCUCAAUUCAUUAUUUGAGGUUUAUAUUAAUAUUAUCCAUUUCGCGGUGUAUUCUUAACAACCGGAAUUCACAAAAUAUAUUUCUUCCUUGAGGUGUCGAUUAUAACAAAAUCGAACUUUAUUAAAUUCAUCAUCUUCUUAUGCCAAAGAAAUAUGUGGCAUACCACAAUUUGCAAUAAUACCUCAAGGGUUGUCCAUUUAAUUGUUGGAACUUCAGGUUCUCAACACUGUUAAAUUUGGAACUUCAGGCCAAAGCCACAUAUUCUCAUGGUAUGGAUAUUUUAUAAUUUUCUGUACAUAUUUUGGGACUUCAAGCCCUUACAUAAUUGUCCAUAUUUUGAGGAACUUCUGGCAUCUCAUUUAAUUGCUCAUCCAUGAGUUUAAGGAACUGCAGGUUUCCUUUUGUAUAUAGUGACGGUUUACCCAAAAUGGUUAAUAUUUAUGCAUACGUCACUAUUCAUGUGAAUAGUACUAUUCAUCAAGUUAUGAAUACGUAUCUAUUCAUCUGCCAGUACAGUUAUCAUCAAUGUGUACGGCACUAUGAACCAAUACGGUACUGUUACAUCAUUAAGGAACUCUAGGUCCUUAUUUACAUGUCAGGGAUCAAGGACCUUUAAGUCCAAUCACAUGUUUACAAAUACAGUACCGGUGAGACUGCCAGCUCUCAUUUUAAUAUCAUCAUCAAGGAUCUUCAAGUCCUGAUGUAAUUGUAUGAUGAGGAUCAAGGAACUUCUGGUCCUGAUCUGCAUACUGGAAAAACUCAUCAUACAGCACAAUUAAUCCAUAAAAUAAAUUGCUGAUAAAUAAAUUACUGGUAUGGACGAUAAACCCGCACCACACUUUAAAUAAAUGUAAAUGUGCGGUAAAUUAAAUUCAUAAAGUUAAGGUGCUUGUAUGGGCAUUAAUUCUGCUCCAUACAUUUAAAUAAAAGUAAAGGCGUGGACGAUAAACCCGCACCACCCUUUUAAAUAAAUGUAAAUGUGCGGUAAAUUAAAUUCAUAAAUUAAAUUGCUUGCUGUAUGGACGUUAAUCCCGCACCAUACUUUAAAUAAAAUUAAAUGUGCGGUAAAGUAAAUUGUGCUUGUAUGGGCACUAAUUCUGCUCCAUACAUUUAAAUAAAAGCAAAGGCGUGGACGAUAAACUCGCACCACCCUUUUAAAUAAAUACUGUUGUAUGGGUAAUAAACAUACACCAUACAGUAAAUAAAAUAAAUAUGCGGUAAAAUAAAUUUGCGAUAAAGUAAAGGUGCAUGUAUGGGUAAUAAACCUACACCAUACAGUAAAUAAAUGUGGGGUUAAAACCACCACCGAAUAAAAUAAGAAAAAGUUAGUAUUAGUAACGGUCUCUCACUAAUAAUAUGUUUAGUAUUACCAAGGGUCCAUUUUUGUUAGUGGUUAGUAGUAUAGAUAAUAGUGCAGCACAAAAAUUAUACCUGAGAGCUUCUCGUGCUGAUAACGUGUUAUAAAAAUAACCUGGAAUAUGUAUGAAUAUUGAGCUGCACGUAAAGUAGAAGAGACACAGCAUUUAACGAGGUUCGGCUAUGCCUACGUCCUCGGAGAGCAGCAACAGUAACUUUUUCACUAUAUAAAAUAAUAGGGCUACAAAUUUAGAGUUUACAAUAUGUGAGGCUCACUGAAUUUUCUCUCUCUUUCUUCUUCUCUCUUUUCUUUCUUCUUUUUCUCUUCUCCCCUUUCUUUCUCUUCUCCCCUUUCUUUCUUUUCUCCGUUGGUCACACUCCCCUUUACAAUUGGUAUGCCUAUUUAUAGGCUAAUGUUUAGGCAAAAUACAGGGAAGGGAAGGUUCCUGGAAGAUGCAAGGAAACUUCCUGAAUUGAUAAAUACAGGGAAGGAAAGUUCCUGGAAGAUGCAAGGAAACUUCCUGAAUUGAUAAAUACAGGGAAGGGAAAGUUCCUGGAAGAUGCAAGGAAACUUCCUCUGUGGGCUCCACCUUCAAACUUUUACAACAGUGUUCUUUUUCUUCGAUCUUUUUACAUUAAAUAAUAAUUAAAAUAUAAUUGCUAAGCAAAGUGAUUAAAAAAGGUUAAGAGUAACCAUAGUAAAUUAAAGAAGUAGGCCAAAAAACAAAAGUGAAGAAACAAAUUUUAUAUUUUUAAGUUAUUAAAACUAACAAAUAUAAAUGAGUAUAGCCGUGCGGCUGUACUAUGCAUAUCUUUAAAAAAAAGGACGCCCCCUAGCUGCCACGUGUCAGAAGACUGAAGCCUUUUUUUAUUUUUUAUUUUUUUUUAAAAAAGGAAAAGCGAGUACAGCCGCGCGGCUGUACUUUCUUUAAAAACAAUUUCAAAAAAAUAGUACAGCCGCGCGGCGAUACUAUUAUAUUUGUAAAGACCAGUCCAUGUGCUCAGCCCACGUGUCAACGAGGUCCAGCCGCCCGGCUAUGCUGUUUUUAAUGCCAAAAAGAGUAUAGCCGCGCGGCUAUACUUUCUUUUUGAAAAACAAUUAGGGAAAACUUGGGCUAUACCCUUUUUUUCUUUUUCUUUUUCUUUUUCUUUUUCUUUUUUUCAAUAAACAAAAAAGUAUAUAUUGUUUUUAUUCGGUAAGACGUGUAUAAUGCGUGAAUUUUGUGUGUCUUAGUGAAAUUUUUGUAAAAACAUACAUGUAUUAAACGUGAGAAAAUAUUUGGGGUCCCAAAACUAAAUUUCUAGGAUUUUUAUUAAAAUAUUUGAUACUAAUUUUUCACUGAAGAAAUAAUAAUUAAAACAUAAUUACUAAUGAAAGUAUUGAAUAAGGCUAAGAUAUUAUUUAAUUAAUAUAAAAAAUUUAAAAAGGAUAUUUUUGGAGUGUAGGUUUUAGAAUAUUUUAAAAUUAUAGCCGCCCGGCUAUACCCUUUGAAUGCCUAAUCUUGAAUUCUCUUUUUUAAUUACUUUGUUUAGUAGUUAUUUUUUAAUUACUAUUUACUUAGUGAAUAAUUGGUAUUUAAAUAUUUGAUUGAAUGAAAAUUUAAAAAUAAUUACCAUUUGUUAAGUGAAUUAAAAUAUUUAAUUCUUCACUAAAGAAAUAAUAAUUAAACCAUAAUUACAGAUGAAAGCAAUUAAAUAAGCCCCAAGGGUUAUUUCUUUAGUUUAAAAAUUAAUUAAUUAGGAUUAAUUUUAAAUGAUAGAGCCCAAGAGAGGUGUUCAUUCCAGAGAGAGGGCUUCAUUCCUCCAUCCGUCGUGGGUAACUUUCAGAUGAUCUUAGGCAUAGGAUUUUCUUUAGGAAGCAAUGUGAAGUAGGGAUGAAAUCUAUUGACUGCUGUGAAGAUAUCUCUUUGAAGGUGUCAUUAUGGACGUUUAUACUGAACUAAAUCUAUCAGUUACUGUUUCAUGUAGUUUCAAUUAUUAUCUUUUCCAGAGAUGGGAUUCAUUUAUCUGCUGAAGGGAGCAAAAUAGUGAAGGUACUGAGGGAAGCUGACUGGAAGCCAAGCUUACACUGGAAAUCCAUGCCAUUAGAAUUUGCAGAGGAUUCACCAUAUGAUCUUGUUGCUGCUGAUGGAAAGACAACAUUAAGUGGGACUAGUUUUGAGAGUCAAUGUUCCACCUGUGCUUGAACAGAAGAUUGAAGUAUCUAUUGUUGCAUGGAACACUACAAUAAUGAAAGAGCCAAAAAAAAAAAAAAAAAAAAAAAAAAAAAGAAGAAAAAGAGAAGAGUGGAUGUGGUGAAGGGUCCAUGAAUUUUUAUUUAUUUUAUUUAUUUUUGGAAUUGUUUCUAGUAGCCUCAUUGUUAUCUAUAAUUUAGUAAAAGACUUCAUUUGUAAACUUUGGUCUUUCUCCAUCAUUUAACACAUUGAUAAUUGUUUCUAGUAGCGGCGUGGCUAUUCUCCCAUGAAUAUAUUUGAUUAUUUAAUAAGUAUAGCCGCCUGACUAUACUUUUUAAAUAUAUUCAAAUAUUUUAAUGAUACCAGUGCUACUGGAGAAUAUCAAUUUCCAUAAUUCUAUUUUUUCUAUUUUUUUUCUUCCAAUUUUUUUUUUUUGCUAGUGAAUUCUAUUUAAUUUUUCGGGUCAAAUGUGAAGCAAUGACAUUGCAAUCCUCUAACUAACCAAAAAAUGGAUAUUAUAAUAAUUCCAAUACUUCAUAUAUAUAUAUAUAUAUAUAUAUAUAUUCUUGAACUACAGGGGUCCAAGAGAUUUGUGGUCACUAACCGUUGAAUGUAAUUUCAACGGUUCACUCACUCUUGCACUCAUUUAAAUUUUUUUUUUUGAACCAUUUGAUUAAUAUCCAACGGUGAGUGACCACAAUCUCUUGGACUCCUAUGGUCCAAGAUAGUGGCGGACCUAGACUUUUGUCCAUCUAGUGCGUAAAAAACAAUUACAUAGCUGACUCUUACAAAGUCUAAGUUUUCAUAGCAAUACGAUAUAUAUUAUAACACAUAAUCUAUUUCAAUAAUUUUUUAAUAUAUGAUUUUGGACCACAUGUUUAUUAAGUCUUGGGCUUUGAUUUUUUCAAUAUAUGAGAGGUUUUGGGCUCUGAUGAUAUCUCCACCAAAAGCUGUAACCUGUUUAAACAAAACAUUUUCAUUUUCCUUAAGAUAGUUGUUUUUGGUAAAAUGGCAGCAUGAGAUAUAAUGCACAUGGGCUGCAUAUGCAUAACUAACACAGAACAGGGUCUGCUGUUUUCUCAUGCAUCUAAGACCACAGAUCUUGUUGGUUUGAUUUCGCUGAUGCUCCCGAUGCUUCAUGUCAUAAUUUUGAAUCUAAAAGACCAACAUGUGAUUACACAUACAUUCAACAAACAUAGCCUUUUUAAAAUUUUAUUUAUCAUGUAAAUUAUAGAUAUUGUAAAACAGGGGAAAAAAAUGAAGCAAUAUGCCUGCGUUAAGGAGCAAAUUUACACUUCUAUCACUUAAUGUUCUUUCUACCAAGCUUCUAUUUUUGUGGAUGGGAAUCAAUUUCAUUGCUACUUGCAACUACAUGCUAAGUGAUCAAUCUUAAUACAAUUGUUGUUUCUGCAGACUUUGAAUAAUGGCGAUGUCUGGGCUCUUGCUGUUGAACAUGCCAUUGGAAGGUUGUUCAAUGCUUUCAUUGUGACAAAUCAUAAAAACUCGCUUCUUCACAUGCUUCCACAAACAAGGCACCCAACUACUCUUUCUCUUCUUCAUUCUGAAAUUCAUACUGUUUUAAACGUGUUGGUAGAUAUGGUAAAGUUUACAGGCUUCUUCUGUUCGUAUAUGGUUAAUUUUCCAGGGAAGUGGUGAAAGGCAAGUUCUGGUGAGAGAUUAUGAUGUGGGAAAAGCAAUUGUUUUUUACUAGAGGGUUUCAAAUUUUAAGGAGGUUUACACUUUAGAUGGCAGUAGGAUGUAAACUAGAGACCCAUGCCCCGUUCCUGCAUCAACUGUUGAUGAGCUGUAUCAAGAAAUUUCGGUCUGUUCCUUUAUGUUAUCAUUAUUUCACUUGGCAAGUUCCACGUCGGACCUAAAAGAGCUCGCCUUAAAUUCCACUCGGACUCAGAGAAGUAGAGUCAAUGGCGGACCUAUUUGUAAGCCAAAUUUUAGUCCAAAGUUUCUCUCUAUUCUCUCCGUUUUCUCUUUCCUUUUUCUUAUUUUCUCUCUUUCUUCUUUAAUCCCUUCGUCCAUUUUCUUCUUUCUUUUCUCCCUCAUCUUUUUCUUUCUUCUCUCUCUUUUCUUGUUCUUCUUCUUUCUCUCCGCCAUUUUUCUUUUCUCUUUCUUUCCUUUUGUCUUCUCUAUUUGUUUUAUUAUGUCUCUGUUUCUCUCUUCUUCUUUUCCAUGCGUUUCUCUGUUUAUGCAUUGAUGGUGGUUUUAUGUUGUGAAGAUGUUGAUUGAAUAGGUGGUUUGACCAGCUUAAGCAUGUGGAUGUUUGGUGGUGGACCAGACUGUAGUCCGAAUCACAUAGGUGUCCAAAAAAAAAAAUUAGCCCACCCCUGUAAAAAAUCAUAGAUCCGCCAUUGGAAGUAGUGAUUUAUUUUCUGUGAUCAUGGCUAGGUUUAGGCACCAAGAACCCUCCUCUUCCAAUUCUUCUCCUUGUCGAUGUUGUUAUGACGUGUUCUUGAGUUUCAGGGGCAAAGACACUCGAAAGACUUUCACAGACCAUCUCUACGCAGCCUUUGUGGAGAAAGGCUUUCCCACGUUCCGAGACAAAGAAGAAGUUGAGAGGGGAGAAGGUAUAAAGCCAGAAUUGCAGAAAGCCAUCCAACAGUCGCGAAGCUCUGUCAUUGUUUUUUCAAAAGACUACGCGUCUUCCGGAUGGUGCCUUGAUGAGCUUGUCUUCAUCCUUGAACACAAGAGGAUCUCCUCAGACCAUGUAGUUUUACCAGUCUUCUACGACGUCGAUCCUUCCCACUUGAGGCACCAGACAGGAAGGGUUGGAGAAGCAUUUUCUUGGCACGAAGAAAAUCAGGAUUCACCCAACAAGAUCAAACAAUGGAGGGCAGCACUUAGAGAAGUUGCAGAUCUAUCAGGGAUGGUCUUAAAAAAUGAAGCUGAUGGGUAACUUCAUUCCAACUACCUCUUUGAUUUUUUGAUAACUUUAACUAGCUAUAGCUUUUCUUAUCAAAAUUCAUCAACUAUGCAGAUCUAUCAGGGAUGGUCUUAAAAACUAAGCUAAUGGGUGAAUGAGACUUUGUACUUUAAAGUAUUUGAUAUCAUGACAUAUUAGUUAAAUGUUAUUUAUUUUUCAUUUUAAUUGCAAUUAUUAGGUACGAGUCAAAGUUUGUCAACCAAAUUAUUAGAGAGAUUGACGACAAACUAAGUCGCAUGCGCACACCCUUUACAGUUGCACCCUACCCGAUUGGAAUGGAUUCUCGAGUUGAAUUUAUUAAUUCAUGGUUACAGGAUGGAUCAACCGAUGUUGGUAUACUUUUAAUUAAUGGGGUUGGGGGAAUUGGAAAGACAACCAUUGCGAAAUUUGCUUACAAUUCAAACUACAGAGGAUUUGAACGGCGCUGUUUCCUUGAAGAUGUCAGGGAAACUUCAAAACAGCCCAAUGGUUUAGUUCUACUGCAAAGACAAUUCCUUCACCAUAUUAUGAGUGGAAGAGAAGUGAAAAUACAUAGUGUCAGUGAGGGAAAUAAAAAGAUUAGAGAUGCCAUAAUCUCUAAACCAGUUCUUCUUGUUCUUGAUGACGUCGACCAUAUGAAGCAAAUAGAUGCAAUAUUUUCUAUGCAAGAUUGGUUUUGUCCAGGAAGUAAAAUAAUGAUAACAACUAGGUGUGCAGGGUUGUUGAGGGAUCAUGAACUCUCUAAUUGUUCAGUUUACAAUGUUGAAACUCUGAAAGCCAAUGAAUCACUGGAACUCUUCAGUUGGCAUGCUUUUCGACAAGCCCAUCCACGUGAAGAUUGGUUGAAACUUUCAGAAAUGAUAGCAGACCGAUGCGGAGGACUUCCAUUAGCUCUUCAAAUUUUGGGUUCUUCUCUAUCAGGGCGAACUAUAGAUGUGUGGAAAAGUGCACUGGAGAAAUUGAAAGCUAUUCCAAAUAAUGAAAUCCUACAAAGACUCAGAAUAAGCUACGAUGCUUUACAGGAUAACCCUGAUGACCAAAAUUUAUUCCUUCACAUUGCAUGUUUCUUUGUUGGGAAGAGAAAAGAUUAUAUUGUUAGAAUACUAGACGGAUGUGAUUUCUUCACAGUUGUUGGCAUUGAAAAUCUUAUGGAUAGAUGCUUGGUAACAGUUGAUCAAGAUGAGAAAGUGAGUAUGCAUCAAAUGAUAUGUGAUANNNNNNNNNNNNNNNNNNNNNNNNNNNNNNNNNNNNNNNNNNNNNNNNNNNNNNNNNNNNNNNNNNNNNNNNNNNNNNNNNNNNNNNNNNNNNNNNNNNNNNNNNNNNNNNNNNNNNNNNNNNNNNNNNNNNNNNNNNNNNNNNNNNNNNNNNNNNNNNNNNNNNNNNNNNNNNNNNNNNNNNNNNNNNNNNNNNNNNNNNNNNNNNNNNNNNNNNNNNNNNNNNNNNNNNNNNNNNNNNNNNNNNNNNNNNNNNNNNNNNNNNNNNNNNNNNNNNNNNNNNNNNNNNNNNNNNNNNNNNNNNNNNNNNNNNNNNNNNNNNNNNNNNNNNNNNNNNNNNNNNNNNNNNNNNNNNNNNNNNNNNNNNNNNNNNNNNNNNNNNNNNNNNNNNNNNNNNNNNNNNNNNNNNNNNNNNNNNNNNNNNNNNNNNNNNNNNNNNNNNNNNNNNNNNNNNNNNNNNNNNNNNNNNNNNNNNNNNNNNNNNNNNNNNNNNNNNNNNNNNNNNNNNNNNNNNNNNNNNNNNNNNNNNNNNNNNNNNNNNNNNNNNNNNNNNNNNNNNNNNNNNNNNNNNNNNNNNNNNNNNNNNNNNNNNNNNNNNNNNNNNNNNNNNNNNNNNNNNNNNNNNNNNNNNNNNNNNNNNNNNNNNNNNNNNNNNNNNNNNNNNNNNNNNNNNNNNNNNNNNNNNNNNNNNNNNNNNNNNNNNNNNNNNNNNNNNNNNNNNNNNNNNNNNNNNNNNNNNNNNNNNNNNNNNNNNNNNNNNNNNNNNNNNNNNNNNNNNNNNNNNNNNNNNNNNNNNNNNNNNNNNNNNNNNNNNNNNNNNNNNNNNNNNNNNNNNNNNNNNNNNNNNNNNNNNNNNNNNNNNNNNNNNNNNNNNNNNNNNNNNNNNNNNNNNNNNNNNNNNNNNNNNNNNNNNNNNNNNNNNNNNNNNNNNNNNNNNNNNNNNNNNNNNNNNNNNNNNNNNNNNNNNNNNNNNNNNNNNNNNNNNNNNNNNNNNNNNNNNNNNNNNNNNNNNNNNNNNNNNNNNNNNNNNNNNNNNNNNNNNNNNNNNNNNNNNNNNNNNNNNNNNNNNNNNNNNNNNNNNNNNNNNNNNNNNNNNNNNNNNNNNNNNNNNNNNNNNNNNNNNNNNNNNNNNNNNNNNNNNNNNNNNNNNNNNNNNNNNNNNNNNNNNNNNNNNNNNNNNNNNNNNNNNNNNNNNNNNNNNNNNNNNNNNNNNNNNNNNNNNNNNNNNNNNNNNNNNNNNNNNNNNNNNNNNNNNNNNNNNNNNNNNNNNNNNNNNNNNNNNNNNNNNNNNNNNNNNNNNNNNNNNNNNNNNNNNNNNNNNNNNNNNNNNNNNNNNNNNNNNNNNNNNNNNNNNNNNNNNNNNNNNNNNNNNNNNNNNNNNNNNNNNNNNNNNNNNNNNNNNNNNNNNNNNNNNNNNNNNNNNNNNNNNNNNNAGGCUGACAUACCCUGUAAUCACUUUUAUUAUGGAUGUACUAUAUGUGAGUAACUACCCUGCCCGCAAUCAACAGGCAAUGCCCUAGACGCAUCCGCCCCGAUGUUACUUCAUUGCUUCGGAGUGCGCGCGGCCGGAGCCCUCGUACUCCGUCGUUCCGUCUCUCUGCGUCCCGUACUCGUUAUACGAAUCGCCUGCUCACCCUUUUUGUUUAAUUGAUCUUUUUUCUGUUCUUUCAUGUCCUCUCGUUUCUGUGUCUUUCUUCCUGUCCUUCGAUUUGUGAUGAUACAAAUAUGAUAAUUAGAAUGGAGCGGGGGCGUGGGGGGAAGGGCGCGGCGGGCGGGGGCAGCGGCUAUAUAUCCUUGUUGCUUGCUAUAUAUCCUUGUGGUUGCUUGCUUAUCCAAAUGUUUCUUCUGUUUUUUUUCUUUCUUUUUUUUGAAUUUUUAUUAGGGUACAGAAACCAUUGAAGGGCCUUGCCUUGGAUAUGCAUAUGCACUCGUUAAACACUCCUUGGGGAAACUCAGAUGAGGAAGUCUUGGAAACUAAUGCAUUUGCAAGGAUGUCCAAACUAAGACUACUCCAUCUUAGUCACGUUCGAUUCAAGGGUUGCAUUGAAGAAUUUCCGAAAGGAUUAAGAUGGUUGUGUUGGCUUGAAUUUCCUCUGAAAUCUAUACCCAGUGAUUUUCCUUUGGAGUGCUUGGUUUAUCUUGAAAUGCCUCACAGUAACUUGAGACAAGUCUUUAAGGGAAUCAAGGUAUGCUACUCCACACUUGUCCAUUGUCUUUUGUUAAAUGUGGUUUAUGAUUAAUUGUACAUGCAUAAGACUUGACUCCACACAUUCUUUCUUUCUUUUUCAUUUACAGUACCUUCGCUCUUUGAAGACCGUUGAUCUAAGUCAUUCCCAUAGCCUUACUGAAAUCUCUAGCUUCUUACUGGUCCCCAAUUUAGAAAGACUUGUUCUCGAAGAUUGUAUGAGCUUGGUUGAUGUCCAUGAGUCCAUUGUAAACCUAAAGAAUCUCGUUUGCUUGAAUCUGAAAGGUUGCAGAAAGAUUAGGAAGCUUCCAAAGAAUCUUUUUAAGCUCCAAUCACUUGAUACACUUAGUCUAUCUGGCUGCUCAAAUCUCAAAGAUUUUUUGACGGAGUUGAGGAAGAUGGAGUCUUUAAAAGUGCUAGAUGUUUCCAAAAUUCCAAUAAGUCAAGUGUUCAUGACUACCACUGGAAAGGUCAACCCAAGCGUAGGGAGAACUCCAAAUAAUUUGUGGUCUUUCUUACCACGUGGUUUAGUACAUUUAAAUCUCUUGAGUUGCAAUCUUCUUGAUGAGGCUUUUCCCAAAGAUUUUGGUAACCUACCCUCAUUAAAAUUCUUAGAUCUAAGCAAAAAUCCAAUUUGUAGCCUACCACAAUGCAUCCGAGGGCUUAGGGGGCUUGUUCGACUCAACUUUUCCAAUUGCAAGAGGCUCCAAACACUUGAAGGGCUACCGAGAGUAAGAACUUUCAUUGUGGUUGGUUGCAGGAUGUUGGAAAGAGUAACAUUUCAAUCAAGUUCGUGCGUACCCUUAGAAUAUCUUAGCAUGUAUAACCCGAAGCUAGUUGAGAUCAAAUACCCGUACAACUUUGUACCUAUUGCAAGAUGUGAUGCAGAAACAAUCAAGCUUUUGGGUUUGUGCAACUUGAAAUCCGAGGGAAUCACCAUUCAAAUGUUAUUCCCAUGUAGGAGUUGGGAGUUUUGUAAGAUCAGGAAGUAUCCUAUCCAGGUGAUUCUCUCUCUCUCUCUCUCUCUCUCUCUCUCUCUCUCUCUCUCUCUCAUCACAUGGAACAUAAGAUUUGACUAAUGUUUUUAUUUAAAUGUAGGGACUAUAUGAAUAUGGUAUAUUCAGCACGUUUCUUCCUGGGAAUGUGGUGCCAGGCCAGUUCAGCCAUACAAGUAGAGGCUCUUCAAUAUCAUUUACCGUGCCUUCAGGAGAAGACAUGAUAUUCUUAAGCCAUUGGAGUUUGGAGAAUGAAGUGAAGGGUGGUGACGAAGUCACAGUUUCAAUGUUCAUGAGAUCCUUGUUUCGAUUAAAUGAGUGGGGCAUCCAGCUUGUAUACAAACAAGAUCAGGAGAAGAUGAUUGCCCCAGACGACGACAAUGCAGUUCCUUCUUUUCCAUCUGUCAUUUUAAGACAUUUGCAAGAAUUCGAGUUGAUACCAAGAACAUACUUCCUCUCCAAUGGACCAAUAUCAAGGAGAAUAUGGACAUUUGGACGUUGUGGGGAGUCGGCUUUGUUUGAUGACAUAUUUGGGGAUGGGGACUCAAACUACUCUGAUCAAGAAACAGGUGUGUCUCUCAUUUAUACUUUCUGACUCCACUCCACUCAUUUAAGAAUAGAUCCACAUUUGUAUCGUGUCAAAAGUGUUGCUCUUAUCCACAUUUUAUGGAGACUAAUUCUAGCUGUCAUUAAUUUGCAUUUUAAACAGACGAAAAUGUGCCGCAACAAGGUGUCCUGAGCAGAAAAAAUAUCCAAACGGUUGAAUCACUAAGAAGAUGGUUGCUCAACAACCGUCACAAGCAAGCUGUCUCCGCUCAUAGUACGUAUCCUCCAGGUCAAUAUAGUAAUAGUACUGACCAAUUCCGCAGCUUAUGGAUUAUAGAAUCCAAUUUGAUAGCUUUGGUUGUCUUGAUUCUUGAAAGCAAGAGUAUCUUGGUUGAUACCAUGGACAUUUGCAUUGUCUCUCAUUUCACAUUGUUGUGUAAAGCUGUUAUUAUGAGUUUCCCAACUGAAAAUGUGGAAGAAAUAACUCAGUAUCUUGUUGCAAAUUACAGAUCAUCUCAAUGACAGAAAAUUGAGCUUGGAUCUUACGUUUCUUUCUUUUUCGGCCGUUUUCAAUCUUGCUUCUCAUUACAAGUAAUGGAAAAUAUGAUUUUGUAUACUCAGUGUGUAAACCCUAUAUAAUUUAUGAACUUAAUUAAAAUCUUUCAUACUAAUGAUUCACUAAGGAAAUAAUAAUUAAAAUAUAAUUACUAAUUAAAAUGAUUAAAUAAGGCUAAAAUAUUAUUUAAUUACUAUAAAUAGAAAUUUUAACAGUAUGGCCCUCGACUAUGCCUUUGAUAUACCUUUUAUUAAUUACUAUUUAUCAAGUAAUAUAAUUUAUGAACUUAAUUAAAAUAUUUAAUACUAAUUAUCCACUAAAGAAUUAAUUAAUUAAAAAUAAUUACUAAUGAAAGUAAUUAAAUAAGGCUAAGAUAUUAUUUAAUUACUAUAAAUAGACAUUUGAAAAGUAUCUCCGCGCGGUUAUAUUAUAAAUAGAAAUUAUAACAUUAUAGCCGCUUGGCUAUACGCUAUAAGAUUUCUGCAGCCGAAAGACUUUUACCGACCAUCUCUACGCAGCCUUUGUGGACAAAGGCUUCCCCCCGUUCCGAGAUGAAGAAGAACUUGAGAGAGGAGAAGAUAUUAAGCCAAAAUUUGAGAAAGCCAUCCAACAGUCACGAAGUUCUGUCAUUGUAUUUUCAAAAGACUAUGCGCCUUCCAGAUGGUGCCUUGACGAGCUUGUCUAGAUCCUUGAACAGAAGACAAUCUCAGACCAUGUAGUCUUACCAGUCUUCUACGACGUUGAUCCUCCCCAUUCGAGCUCCNNNNNNNNNNNNNNNNNNNNNNNNNNNNNNNNNNNNNNNNNNNNNNNNNNNNNNNNNNNNNNNNNNNNNNNNNNNNNNNNNNNNNNNNNNNNNNNNNNNNGCCCCUUUCAGGGGGGGCCCUGGGGGGGUUUUUUUGGUUCUUGGAAAAGAAAAAUUUUUCGCCCCAGGUUUUUUUCCCUUUUUUUUGGGGGGGGGUUCCCCCCCUUGGGGGCCCCCCCCCCCCCCUUCCCCCAUAAAAGCCCCCCCCCCCCCCCCCACCCCGGGGUUUUUUUCACCCAAGCCCUUCCCCCCCCCCCCCCCCCCCCCCCCAAAAAAAAACGAACCCAUAACCACUGCAACCCCCAUUUUCUUCUCCCACCCCUUUUCUCCAUCUCUCUCUCUCUCUCUCCCAUUCGAGCUCCCCCCCCUCCCCUCUGUAUUUUUAAUUACAACAAAAGGGAAAGAGAUGAAUAGGUGGCCCUCUGUUUAUUAAAUAUAUAUUAUAUUAUUUCAACAUAUAAAAUGACCAAUUUGCCCUCAUAUAUAACGGCAAAUUGGAUGAAAUGUUGAGAUUUAAAAGGUAUAGGGUAAUUGGCAAUAAAAAUUAGUUCGUGUACUUAAUUUUCCAGAAACAAAUUGAGGGUGCAAAGUAAAAAUAUCAUACAAGUUCAAAAGGUAAAUCAACAGUAAACCCAUACACAGUACACUUAUUGUAUCUGCUGAAAUUCCAAUAACUCAAGUGCUCAUGAGACCGCUGGGGAAGUCAAAUCAUGCCUAAGGAGAAAUCCAUAAAAAUUUUGGGCUUUUUUACCACCUUGUUUAAAACAGUUGAAGCUCACAAGUUGCAAUCUUUCUAAUGAUGCUUUUGUUGAUGUUUGGCCCACUUAAAGAUGCAGAAGGAGUGAAGGAAAUUGGGCUCUGCCGCUCGAGCAGUAGAGCGGUACUUGUCACCCAGACCUAGGCGUUCCAACGCCUCCUCAAGCGGCAGAACGCAUACUCGAGUGGACAACAGGUGCUCGACUGGCGUGAGCAGCGCUCAAGCGGGACAUACGAUUCUAGCAUGAAUCCCAAGCGAAUCUAGAUAAAUUUUCUCCUAGUUUUGGAGUCUUUAAGUUUUCUAUUCCUUCCAUAAUUGUACUAAAGCCAUAUGACACAUAAAUAGGCAUUUUAGCACUAGGUUAUUGUAACGUGGUGAGAGAAAAGAGAGUUAAGGUUUGUGAGAGAUCAAAGGGGGUUUUUCAUUAUAACCAAAAAGGUUCUUUCAUACUAGUGAAUUUCUCGGGGAUCACCAAGAGGACGUAAGUAAAACGCCGAACCUUUAUAAAUUCUUGUGUUAUUUGUGUGUGUGUUCACUUUGUGGUUUCAUGUGUGCUUUAUCUUUGUGUGGCUUGUAUGUGAUAGUUGCAUAAUCCAUCAACAACAACUUCUUGGAGUGUUUUCACACGACAGCUUUUCCCAAAGAUUUUGAUAACAAUCUAAUUUGUGGCCUGCCAGAUUGCAUCCGAGGUCUCACGGGGCUUGAUCAACUUAGUUUUGUUAGUAGGUUUGCCAACUUGCCGUGAUGAGUAUAUUCUUCCUUUUCAACUUUUAAUCCCCUUAAAUUUUCAUAUUGCCAAAUGCAAAAGAUGAAAGGCAAAAUAUUCUGGCCCCUCCACUACCACUUUUAACAGCUACAUUUGUGCUUCUAGAAAAGGGAUGUCUCUUUUAUUUCCUUAGCAAUUGAGUGAUGGAUGACUAAGAGAAAGGGGCGGCUACAUCUAUAAUUUAUUUGCUUCACCAACCUCCUCCUUUACACGGUAUCUUUGCAAUAUCCGAAGUAGGAAACUCAAGAUCUAUAUUUUGGGUAAACAAGGCUUAGACACCAGCAAUUAAGAAGUGGUAAAGUAUUUUCAGUGAUCAUGGCUCGAUUUAGGCACCAAGAAGCCUCCUCUUCCACUUCUUCUCCUUCUCCAUGCUGUUAUGACGUGUUCUUGAGUUUCAGAGGCGAAGACACUCGAAAGAAUUUUAGCGACCAUCUCUAUACCGCUUGUGUGGAGAAAGGCUUUAACACGUUCCGGGAUGAUGAAGAACUUGAGAGAGGAGUAGAUAUUAAGCCAGAAUUGAAGAAAGCCAUCCAACAGUCACGUAGUUCUGUCAUUGUAUUUUCAAAAGACUACUCGUCGUCCAGAUGGUGCCUUGACGAGCUUGUCUUCAUCCUUGAGCAGAAGAGGAUCUCGGAACACGUAGUUUUACCUGUCUUCUAUGACGUUGAUCCUUCCCACGUGAGGAACCAGACAGGAUGUGUUGCAGAAGCAUUUUCUAGGCACGAAGAAAAUCAGCUAUCAACGAACAAGGUCAAACAAUGGCGUGCAGCACUGAGAGAAGUUGCAGAUCUAUCAGGGAUGGUCUUACAAAACCACGCUGAUGGGUAACUUCUUUCAAACUAGCUGUUCAUUUCUUAUUUAAGUUCAAUUCACUAGUCCUGUCCUGUAGGGUUUUACUUUUAGAUAUAUAAUUUGAAGCUUUUCUUAUUUAAAAAAUUCAUCAACUCUGCUCACAUAAUUAUUUUCACACACACAUAUUACACUAGUGUUAAUAUCAAUAUAAUUCUUGUUUCAGCAUAUCUGAUAACUUUGGCUUGCUCUUUGCGUGAGAGUUUGUAAUUUAACUAUUUGAAAUCAUGCAUGAAAUGUUAAUUAAUUAAACAUGAUUUAUUUUUCAAUCUUGUUGCAAUUGAUAGGUACGAGUCAAAGUUUAUCAUGCAAAUUGUUAAAGUGAUUGACAACAAACUCAGUCGCACGCCCUUCGCUAUUGCACCCUACCCGAUUGGAAUUGAUUCUCGAGUUGAAAAUAUUAAUUCAUGGUUACAGGAUGGAUCAACCGAUGUUGGAAUACUUUUAGUUAAUGGAGUUGGGGGAAUUGGAAAGACAACCCUUGCAAAAUUUGCUUACAACAUAAACUUCAGAAGAUUUGAACGAAGUUGUUUUCUUGAAGAUGUCAGGGAAAUUUCAAACCAACCCAAUGGUUUAGUUCACCUACAGAUACAAUUCCUUCACCACAUUAUGAGUGGAAGAGAAGUGAAAAUACAGUGUGUCAGUGAGGGAAUAAAAAAGAUUAGAGAUGCCAUAAUCUCUAAAACAAUUCUUCUUGUUCUUGAUGAUGUUGAUCAUAUGGACCAGAUAGAUGCAAUAUUUUUUAUGCAAGAUUGGUUUUGCCCUGGAAGUAAAAUCAUGAUAACAACUAGGUGUGCAGGAUUAUUAAGGGGUCAUCAAGUAGCUAAAAGCAAAGUUUAUGAUGCUGAAACUUUGGAUGUGGAUGAAUCAUUACAACUCUUCAGCUGGCAUGCGUUUGGCCAGGACCACCCAAUUGAGGGUUACAUUAGUCUGUCGAAAAGGGUAAAGGAUCGAUGCGGAGGACUCCCGUUAGCUCUUCAAGUUUUGGGUUCGUCUCUAUCAGGACGACAUAUAGAUGUUUGGGAAAGUACAUUGGAGAAAUUAAAAACUAUUCCAGACAAUCAAAUCAUCAAAAAACUCAGAAUAAGCUACGACGCUUUACAAGAUAACCCUGAUGACCAAAAUUUAUUCCUCCAUAUUGCAUGUUUUUUUGUUGGACAAGGGAAAGAUUAUGUUGUUAGAAUACUGGAUGGAUGUAAUUUCUUCACAAUUGUUGGCAUUGAAAAUCUUGUGAAUAGAUGUUUGGUAACAAUUGAUGAUGAAAACAACGUGAAGAUGCAUCAAAUGAUUUGGGACAUGGGAAGAGAAAUUGUUCGGCUAGAAUCAAAGGCACCUGGAAAACGUAGUAGAUUAUGGCGUGAUAAGGAUUCUUUCGAUGUAUUGAAGGAAAAGAGUGUAAGAAUGAUUCUUCUCUCAAGAUGCGAUUUUUCUUGCACAUGCACAUAUCCUUGCUGGUUACUUAUAUCCAACUGUUUUUUUUUUCAGGGUACAGAAACAAUUGAAGGUCUUGCCUUGAACAUGCGUAUGCUCUCAGUAAACACUCCUUCUGGCAAUACGAAUGAGGUAGUCUUGGAAACUAACGCAUUUUCAAGGAUGUCCAAACUAGAACUACUUCAGCUUUGUCAUUUACGACUCAAUGGAUGUUAUGAGGAAUUUCCAAAAGGAUUAAGAUGGUUGUGUUGGCUUGAAUUUCCAUCGAAAUCAUUACCUAGUGAAAUUCCUUUGGAGUGCUUGGUUUAUCUUGAAAUGCAUCAUAGUAACUUGAGACAAGUCUUUAACCGGAAAAAAAACUUGAUACAAGUUUUAAAGAAGGGAAGAAAGGUAUCCUAUCCUUGGCGGGAAUAAAUGCAUCAUACUCCAUGCUUAUCCAAUUUCUUUUGUUAAUUUUAUGUUUAAUUUUGCAUUUGUCAGAUUUAACUUCACACAAUCUUUCAUUUUGUUUUUCCACAGCACCUUCCCUCACUGAAGACCCUUGAUCUAAGUCAUUCUCAUAGCCUUACUGAAAUCGGUAACUUCUCACUGGCCCCCAACUUAGAAAGACUGAUUCUUAAAGAUUGUGCGAGCUUGGUUGAUGUUCAUGAAUCCAUUGGAAACCUAAAGAGACUCAAUUACUUGAAUAUGAAAGAUUGCAAAAAGAUUAGGAAACUUCCAAAGAAUUUAUUUAUGCUAAAAUCAGUUGAUACACUUAUUGUAUCUGGAUGCUCAAGUCUAAAUGAGUUUCCGAAGGAGCUGAGGAACAUGGAAUCUCUUAAAGUGCUAAAGGUAACUCAAGUUCUGACCACCACUGGAAACGUCAAAUCAUGCCUGAGGAGAAAUCCAGAAACUUUUUGGGCUUCUUUACCAAGUAGUUUAACACAAUUAAAGCUCAAGAGUUGCAAUCUUUCUGAUGAGGCUUUUCCCAAAGAUAUUGGUAACCUACCCUCAUUAGAACUAUUAGAUCUAAGCGACAAUCCAAUCUCUGGCCUACCAGAUUGCAUCCGAGGUGUUACACGACUUGAUCAACUUCUUUUUUCAAAUUGCAAGAGGCUCAAAACGCUUGUAGGGCUACCAAGGGCAAGAUAUUUUGGUGUGUUUGAUUGUGCAUUGUUGGAAAAAGUAACAUUUCAAUCAAGUUUGUUCGGAUUCACACCGUUUGAAGUGCUUAGCAUUAGUAACCCGAAGUUAAUUGAGAUUGAAUACAUGUACAAGUUAGAACCCCUUGGAAAUUGUGAUGUAGAAAUGCUCGAUCUUUUGGGUUUGUCCAAGUACUUGGAAUCCAUGGAAACCGUUUUGAUGAUCUUCCCAUGUAGGAUCGCAGUGGAGUCGUGCCGUGCAGUUGAGAGUACGAAGCUGGAUUGGAUCAGAAGAUAUCCCAUCCAGGUGCUUCUCUUUCUCUCUAUCGUAUACAUACAUACAUAUAUAUAUAUACACACACACACACACACAUAGACACACACACACAACAAUAUCACAAGGAAGAUGCUAUUUGACUAAUACUAGCUUACAUGUCUAUAUAUAGGGACUUUAUGAAUCUGGUAUAUUCAGCACAUUUCUUCCUGGGAAUGUGGUGCCAGGCCACUUCAGCUAUACAAGUAAAAAGUCUUGGUCAAUAUCUUUUAGUGUGCCUUCUUCUACUUCUACUUUCAGGAUUCGAGGUUUGAAUGUCUUCUCUAUGUAUACAUGUUCUGGUAGUGGUUCUUAUGCUGGUUACAGUUGUGAGAUAAUUAGUCCAAUAAUAAUCAAAGUUAGCAACAAAAGCACGGGAAUGAAGUGGAUCUAUGACCCAUCAUGCUUCGGUAUUCCAGAUCCUGGAGAAGACAUGAUAUUCUUAAGCCAUUGGAAGAUGGGGAAUCAAUUAUUGAAAGGUGGCGACCAAGUCACAGUUUCCAUGUUCAUGAGAUCUGUCUUUCAGCUGAAGGAGUGGGGCGUCCAGCUUGUGCACGAGCAAGAUCAAGAGAAUAUCAGGAUGAUGAGGACCCAACAUGACAAUGAUGAUUAUGAGUGUCCAGUUUCUUUUCCAUGUGUCAUUUUUGGACGUUCGCCAGAAUUCGAGGUGAUGUCAAGAACAUACUUCCUGUCGCAUGGACCACAAUCAAGGAGAGCACUGACGUUUACUCGUUGGAGGGAUUCGGUUUUGUUUAAUGACAUAUUUGGGGACUCUGAUCAACAAGGUGGGCAUGCAUCUCUCUCAUUUAUAUCAUUCAACACAAGUUUUAUUGUGUUUGUUUAUGUUGAGCGAAUCCACGUUUGUAUAUCUAUCGAAAGUUUUCCUUUCUUCUAUGUCGACUAAUCUUCUGCCAACUGCAUUUUCAACAGAGGAACAAGCACUGCCGCUUGCAACAACAAUGAGGGACGCCGGGGACAAUAGAUACUUUGUGUUUUCCAUGUUGGCGGUAGAUGUCCUAUACGACAAUGUAGUUUUACGCAGUUGCCUUUUUGGAACUCAGUCGUGAGAGAAGAGGCCAUAAGCUAUCCAUGAAUUUGUUGUAGUUGAGUUCUGUCACCUUUGGGAUUCUUUUUCCUCUGCCAGGUUCUCAAUCUCACUUUCUUUUUCCUUGCGUUAUGAUGAGCUUAUUUUCUGAUGUAAUUUGGUAUAAAAAGAAGGAAAAUGAAAGAAAAACAUAUGAAACCAAAAGGACAAAAAGAACAAGGUUCAUAUGCAUGACUGACAAGGUAUCAAAGUUCAUAUGCAUGACAAAAAAAUUAUAUGAUUUAACAUGCCUUGUACUACCUGACUGGGGAUUUGGCGUCCAUUAAGGGAGAGGUGCUAGAUACCUUGAGCUUAUACCCUGGAAGCACGUGCACGUAAAUUGAGAAAAAACUUGUCAUGGUCCUCUCAAAUGGAAACGCUUCCUUCUCCGGCACCAUUGAAGCUCUCAAAAGAGCUUAUUAUCAAACAUUCCAUGUGUCAAAUUCUUCGAUUGAAGAAACGUCUCCAUGCUCAAACAAAUCCUGGCCUAAUUAUUUUGUUGUACAUGUACAUUCACUAAAAGUUCUUCUAAUUGUGGGGCUAAUUCAUUUUUUAUGUAAAAAAAAGUCUUAUAUAGCAUUAACAACAUUAUACUUAAGGUGGAAGAGGGAAAAAAAAAAUACAAUUGGGGGCCAAUAGCUUAUACUUGGCCUUUACUGGAACUGCCAGUGUUGUGAAGUUGGAGAAUAAUUUGUAUAUCAUAAGAUAGCAUUGUUUUGAUAUUUCGAACCGAUCACAUUUUAUCAUGCAUUAUAAAAAUUUCAUGACAGACACAAUUGAACGUCAUAGGGGGGAUAUGUAAAUUUUUAUCCUAAAGUUUGGCUCUUUUUAUGACAAAACAGUUAACUUUUGUGCUUCCCUGGGUUCAAUCAAUCCAUUACUUUGACUUGAGUAACAAAUACUUUUUUAUUAGUGCACAAUUACAUUUCUGUAAAUGCUUUUGUAACUUUUAAAAAAAAAAAAUCGUAUUUAAAAUGAAAAAUAUAAAAACAACAAUUCAACACAAAGAUGAGAUGACAUGACACCCAUUUCCUAUACAAAGAUUGGGCCCACAGCUAUUCAAUAAUUUCGUACACUGCCACCGUCAUCAACCCCCGCCAACAUCAAGAUGACGCCCCAAAAAAUGGGGUUUCAUCCUUAAUCUCUGUCAUUGCGGCUAAUUUUGAAGGGGAAUGCUCCGUUCCUCAAGCAUGAGGAGCAGGAGCUCCUCCCUAUAGCUCAUCCAUGUUUUUUUACUUGUGCUUGACUUUGUAUCCAUACACAACGUAAUGUCAAACACUUUUCCAUUAUCAGAACAAAGAAUUCAAAUAAGCAAAGAGUUUUAUUUUAUUUAGUGUCUAGUGAUUAACUCAAAGUUUUUUUUUUUUUUUUUUUUUCCUUUCUGUUGAUAGGUUGUUAACUUGCCGUUCAACCUGUGGUGCUUUGUGCUGUUUCAACCUCCUGGCCUUAACUUGUUCGACGUAAUGUCCCAGAGAGAUUGUUUUUUAUUCGGCCUGACUCCCUAACACCUUUGAGGUAUGUUUGUUCAAACUCUAGAUGUAUAGUGUGGUGCAGUACAUGUUUGUGGCGGGAAAUUACAUGAACUCAAAUUAUAUGUUUAUAAAAAGAUCAAAGUGUGUUUCAAGUUGAUCAUGAUAUUUUAAUUUUUAAGUACCUUGUGGUGUGCUUACUUGGGUGGUGUGAUUCAAGGUUUAACAGGUCAACUUUAGAAAGCAUAAAUCACUUCAAAUAGAAGCAAAAAAGAGAAGUUUUAUGUUUAAGAAGACGUAGGCAAUUCCUAAUUACUAUUUUUACUUUUGCAAUUAUAUCUAAUGAUAUAUAUUUUUUGUAGUCCUUUAUAUAUCUCGUGCAUUGAAAAUGGUAUCACCAAAAAUAUAAUUUAAAAUUUCAAUUAAUAAAUAUAUUCUUCAUUUUUAAUUUUUAAUCGCCUUUGAUUUUCAUAUUGCCAAAUGCAAAGGAAGAAAGAGACAGCUCUCUGUUUAACUUAUCACUAAGAAAGGCAAAACUGGCCCCUCCACGACCACUCUUACCAGCUACCAUUUGUGCUUUUGUCUUUUAUUUUCCUUUGCAAUUGCGUGAUUUAUGACUCAUAGAAACAAGCGGCAACACUGUCCUUAAUUUAUUUCCUUGACCAAUACAUUCACCACCUCCUUUACACGGUAUCUUGGCCAUAUACGAAGUAGGAACUCAAGAGGUAGCCUUAAAUUCCACUCAGACUCAGAGACACCAGCAAUUAAAAAAUGAUUUACUAUUUUCUGUGAUCAUGGCUCGAUUUGGGGAACAAGAAGCCUCCUCUUCCAGUUCUUCUCCCACUCGAUGUUGUUAUCAUGUGUUCUUGAGUUUCAGAGGCGAAGACACUUGAAGGGCUUUUACCGACCAGCUCUACACAGCCUUUGUGGAGUAAGGCUUUCCCACGUUCCGAGAUGAAGAAGAACUUGAGAGAGGAGAAGAUAUUAAGCCAGAAUUUGAGAAAGCCAUCCAACAGUCACGAAGUUCUGUCAUUGUAUUUUCAAAAGACUACCCAUCUUCCAGAUGGUGCCUUGACGAGCUUGUCUUGAUCCUCAAACAGAAGAGGAUCUCAGACCAUGUAGUCUUACUAGUCUUCUACAACGUUGAUCCUUCCCACAUGAGGCACCAAACAGGAAGUGUUGGAGAAGCAUUUGCUAGGCAUGAAGAAAAUCAGCAAUCACCGAACAAGGUCAAACAACGGAGGGCAGCACUAAGAGAAGUUGCAGAUCUAGCAGGGAUGGUCUUACAAAACCAAGCUAAUGGGUAACUUCAUUCCAACUAUUCCAUUUUUUAUUCAAUUAUUUUUUUUUAUAACUUGAAUUAGAUAUUAUAAUUCAUCAACUCUGCUGAUAUUCCUGUGUCUCCAAAAUACUGAAUACGUCUAAAAGGACUAAAGAGUAGUAUACUUCUAUCAUUAUGAUGGAAGAAUGAAAGGCUAAUUAAUAAUUCAAAGUUGAAUUUGAAAAACUUCUACAACAUAUAUAAUUAAGUCAAGGUGCCUGAUACGAUGACAAUCACUUUAAAUGAGAUCAAAAGCAAAUUAUAGUUCAAUGAUCCGUAGUCACUAGAUUCCCCAUUUACACACAUUGUAUUGCACUAUCAGUUAAAUUUUCAAUAGUAUGUGCUAUUUUUCUAUCCCCAAUAUCAUGUAUUGAUAAUCCCAUUGUUCCUAGUACAUUAUUUGAAAACUUUGACAUGUUAUUUGCAUGAGACUUUGUAAUUUAAUUAUCUGAUAUCAUGACAUGUUAUAAAUGUUACUUAUUUUUCAUUUUGAUUGCAAUUCUUAGGUAUGAGUCAAAGUUUGUCAAGCAAAUUGUUAAAGUGGUUGACGAAAAACUAAGUCGCAUGCGCACACCCUUUAUAGUUGCAUCUUACCCGAUUGGAAUUGAUUCUCGAGUCAAAUAUAUUAAUUCAUGGUUAAAAGAUGGAUCAGCUGAUGUUGGUAUAAUUUUAGUUAAUGGGAUUGGCGGAAUUGGAAAGACUACCAUUGCGAAAUUUGUUUAUAAUCUGAACUUAGAAAAUUUGACGGAAGUUGUUUCCUUGAAGAUGUCAGAGAAACUUCAAGACAACCCAAUGGUUUAGUGCAACUACAACUUCAAUUUCUUUAUCAUAUUUUAAGUGGAAGAGGAGUGAAAAUACAUAGUGUUAGUGAGGGAAUAAAUAAGAUUAGAGAUGCCAUAAUCUCUAAAAGAGUUCUUGUUCUCGAUGAUGUGGAUGAUAUGCACCAAAUAAAAGCAAUAUUUGGGAUGCUAGAUUGGUUUUAUCCACGUAGUAAAAUAAUCAUAACUAGGUAUGCAGGGUUGCUAAGGGAUCAUGAACUCUCUACUUGCAAAGUUUACAACGUUGAAACUCUGAAAGCCAAUGAAUCACUGGAACUCUUCAGUUGGCAUGCUUUUGGACAAGCCCAUCCAUGUGAAGAUUACAUGAAACUUUCAGAGAUGAUAGCAGACCGAUGCAAAGGACUUUCAUUAGCUCUUCAAGUUUUAGGAUCUUCUCUAUUUGGACGAACUAUAGAUGUAUGGAAAAGUGCACUAGAGAAAUUAAAAGCUAUUCCAAAUAAUGAAAUCCUCCAAAGACUCAGAAUAAGCUACGAUGCUUUACAGGAUAACCCCGAUGACCAAAAUUUAUUCCUUCACUUGCAUGCUUCUUUGUCGGAAAGAGAAAAGAUUAUAUUGUUAGGGUACUAGAUGGAUGUGAUUUCUUCACAAUUGUUGGCAUUGAAAAUCUUCUGGAUAGAUGCUUGGUAACAGUUGAUGAAAAUCAGAAGGUGAGUAUGCAUCAAAUGAUCUGUGACAUGGGAAGAGAAAUUGUUCACCUAGGAUCAAAGGAGCCUGAGAAGCCUAGUAGAUUAUGGAAUGAUACAGAUUCCUUCAAUUUAUUGAGAGAAAAGAGUGUACGAAUCAUUCUCUUCUUAUGUUUAUGCAUGCAUUUUUUCCUUUUGGGGCCUAUAUAUAUUGCUGCUUGUUUAUCCAAAUGUUUCUUUUUUUAUUAGGGUACAGAAACCAUUGAAGGCCUCGGCUUGGAUAUGCAUAUGCACUCGGUAAACACUCCUUGGGGAGAUUCAGAUGAGAUGGUCUUUAAAACUACUGCAUUUGCAAGGAUGCCCAAACUAAGACUACUCCAUCUUAGUCAUGUACGAUUUAAGGGAUGCUAUGAAGAAUUUCCGAAAGGAUUAAGAUGGUUGUGUUGGCUUGAAUUUCCUUUGAAAUCUCUACCCAGUGAUCUUCCUUUAGAGCGCUUGGUUUAUCUAGAAAUGCCUCAUAGUAACGUGAGACAGGUGUUUAAGGGAAUAAAGGUACGCUACUCCACACGUAUCCAUUAUCUUUUGUUUAAGAUGGUUUAUGAUUAAUUUUACGUGUAUAAGAUGUAACUCCACACCUUCUUUCUUUGUUUUUCUUUCACAGUACCUUCCCUCUUUGAAGAAUGUUGAUCUAGGUCAUUCCCAUUGCCUUACUGAAAUCUCUGAUUCUCGCUGGUCCCCAAUUUAGAAAGUCUUGUUCUUGAAGAUUGUUCGAGCUUGGUUGAUGUCCAUGAGUCCAUUGGAAACCUAAAUAGACUAGUUUACUUGAAUUUGAAAGGUUGCAAAAAGAUUAGGAAGCUUCCAAAGAAUCUUUUUAAUCUCCAGUCACUUGAUACACUUCCUCUAUCUGGCUGCUCAAAUGUCAAAUCUUAAUGAGUUUUGGACAGAAUUGGGGAAGAUGAAGUCCCUAAAAGUGCUAGAUGUAGCCGAAAUUCCAAUAAGUCAAGUGUUCAUGACUACCACUGGAGAGGUCAAACCACGAAUAGGGAGAAAUCCAGAAAGUUUGUGGUCUAUCUUACCACGUUGUUUAGCACAUUUAAGCAUCAGGAGUUGCAGUCUUUCUGAUGAGGCUUAUCCCAAGGAUUUUGGUCACCUACGCUCAUUAGAAUUCUUAGGCCUAAGCAAAAAUCCAAUUCGUGGCCUACCACAUGGUGUCCGAGGUCUUAGGGGGCUUGUUCGACUCGUUAUUACCCAGUGCUAUAGUCUCCAAACACUUAAAGGGCUACUGAGAGUAACAAAUUUCGCUGUGGUUGAUUGCAGGUUGUUGGAAAGAAUAACGUUUCAAUCAAGUUUGUGCGUACCUAUAGAAUUGCUUAGCAUGCAUAACCCCAAGCUAGUUGAGAUUGAAUGCUUAUACAAGUUUGUACCCAUUGCAAGAUGUGAUGCAGAAACCAUCAAACUUUUGGGUUUGUGCAACUUGAAAUUCAAGGGAAUUACCAUUUGAAUGUUAUUCCCAAGCAGGAAUAGCAUAUUUGAUGAGGUCUAUAAGUAUCACAUCCAGGUGAUUCUCUCUCUCUCUCUCUCUCUCUCUCUCUCUCAUAUAUAUCACAUGCAACAUAAGAUUUGACCAAUGUUUUGAUUUCUAUGGCAUGCAUAUGUUAGGUACUAUAUGAAUAUGGUAUAAUCAGCACGUUUCUUCCUGUGAAUGUGGUGCCAGGACAAUUCAGCCAUAAAAAUAGAGGCUCUUGUUCAAUAUCUUUUACUGUGCCUUGUUCUAACCUCAGGAUUCGAGGCUUGAAUAUCUUCUCUGUAUAUACAGUCAAUGAUGGUGAUUUAGAUCCUGGUUAUAGUUGUGACAAAAUUAGUCCAAUAGUCACCAAAGUCCAUAAUAAGAGCACGGGAAUGAAGUGGAUCUAUGACCCGUCCUUAAUCGGCUUUCCGGAUUUAGGAGAAGACAUGAUAUUCUUAAGCCAUUGGAGUUUGGGGAAUGAACUGAAAGGUGGUGACCAAGUCAUAGUUUCAAUGUUCAUGAGAUCUUUGUUUCAAGUAAAUGAGUGGGGCAUCCAGCUUGUACACGAGCAACACCAAGAUCAAGAGAAGAUGAUGAUUAUGAUUGCCCAACAAGACGACAACACAGUUCCUUCUUUUCCGUCUGUCGUUGUUGGACGUUUGCCAGAAUUUGAGAUGAUACCAAGAACAUACUUCCUCUCCAAUGGACCAUUAUCAAGGAGAACAUUGACAUUUGGGCAUUGGAGGGAGUCGGAUUUGUUUGAUGACAUAUUUGGGGAUGGGGACUCACACUACUCUGAUGAAGAAACAGGUGUGUGUGUGUGUGUGUGUGUGUGUGUGUGUGUGUGUCUCUCUCUCUCUCUCUCUCUCUCUCUCAUUUAUAUGUAAUUUAGAUCCACAUUCAUAUCAAAAGUUUUGCUCUGAUCCACGUUCUGGCUCUGGCAUUAAUUUGCAUUUUGAUGAACAGACAAACAAGUGCUGCAACAAGGUUCCAGAACAAAAUCCAAAAGGUUGAACCACGAAGUAGGCUGCGCAAGUAUCAUGUCCUGUUCAUGUUACGUGUCCUCUAUGACAAUACACUACUGGCAAGUUGUGCAACUUAGGAUUAUAGGCAUGUAUGAUUGGUUUUUUUAUGUUGUGUUUAUCCUUGAACGCAAGAGUACAUGUAGUUACCAGUCUUCUAGGGUACCUACACCUGAGAAAGCAGACAGCGAGUGUUGAAGGAGGGAGGCAUUUGCUCGACAUGAAGAAAAUCAUCAAUCAAGGUCAGACAAUCUGUUGGAGAAUACAAUACAAAGACAAUUUUGGAAUAUCAUUGAAAGUUGAGCUUCAAUCUUGCUUUUUUUUCUUUAUGGUCGUUUUCAAUCUUGCUUCUCGUUAAAAUAUGAGCAGUAGAAAAACAAUAUUUGGUAUACAUAUAUGUUAACGCCUUUGUGAAUCCCACAGAACCCAUUUCCUGUAAAUAUUUUACACUAAAAAGUCAUACAUUUGACCAAGCCCCCCCUCGGCAGCACCAACGCAUGGCGCCAAUCGAAACUGUAAUGUCGAAACCAAGGCAAAAAGUUGCCCCGCGCACAAUAUGGCUUGGGCGCCAAUUGAAAUUGCAAAGUUUAAAACCAAGGCAAAAAGUUGCCCGCCCAAAGUUUAAAACCACCAUAUGGGGGAUUUCACAUCGAGAACAUAUAGGAUUUUCCUUUUCAAAUUCAACCAAAAACCAAUUUGAACCAACCAUUUGUUACUUUAAAACCUAAUUACAUGCAAACGAAGACAUUGAUUCAAGAAACAUAGGGGCAAAUGCAAUGCCCCAAACCAAUUUCAUCAACCUAGGGGCAUUGUUUCAAACACCAUUAGGGCACAAAGAUCUAACAUCAUUUACACGCCCAACUCCAGCACAUGGACAUUGGAACAAAAUUCACGUUACAGAAACCAUCAUUAAGUACAUGGGAUUUCAUUUCAAAUUUGAGAUCACAAUAUUCCAGGUAUAAUCCAUGUGAGCGCAGAAUUCAGAUCAUAUAAACCAUAGUAUUUCGUUGAAAGAACUGAUAGUGAAUUACAUAUCUACUAAACUAAACCCUAAAUCUAAACACUUGACAUCGAAAAACUACAUAUCCAGAACAGAGCAGAACCCACCACACUUCAAGAACUUGUAAACUUGGUCACCGCCUUAGUCCCUUCAGACACCGCGUGCUUAGCGAGCUCACCAGGAAGCACAAGCCUCACAGCAGUCUGGAUCUCCCGAGAAGUAAUGGUCGGCUUCUUGUUGUACCUUGCAAGCCUGGAAGACUCCUGGGCGAGCUUCUCAAAGAUGUCGUUGAUGAAGCUGUUCAUGAUGCCCAUGGCCUUGCUGGAGAUCCCAAUAUCAGGGUGAACCUGCUUCAGCACCUUGAAGAUAUAGAUCUUGUAGGUCUCUACGCUCUUCUUCGAUCUCUUCUUCUUCUUAUCUCCGGCGGCGGCUCCGGCCUCCUUGGGGAGCUUCUUGCCGGCCUUGGGCUUCUUCUCGGCCGGGGCUUUCUCAGCCACAGUCGACUUCUUCUCCUCCGCUGGCUUCUUCUCGGCGGGCUUCUUCUCAGCUUUCGGCGCCAUUGGAGUUGUGAGAGAAAAGUUAGGGUUUGGGAAUUUGGGA